UACCAUCAAAACGAGAUGUCGUAGCUCUCUACAACCAAAACAACAUCAGAAGAAUGAGACUCUAUGAUCCAAACAUAGAGGCACUCGAAGCUCUCAGAGGCUCCAACAUUGAAGUCAUGCUGGGCCUUCCCAACGAGAACCUCCAAAGAAUCGCUUCCAAUCAAGCCGAAGCAAACACUUGGGUCCAAAACAACGUCCGAAAUUUUGCUAACAAUGUCAAGUUCAAAUACAUUGCUGUAGGAAAUGAAGCAAAACCUGGAGAUAACUUCGCUCAGUACCUUGUUCCCGCCAUGAGAAACAUACAAAACGCCAUCAACGGAGCCGGCCUUGGAAACCAAAUCAAGGUUUCCACUGCCAUCGAAACUGGAGCUCUUGGCGAAUCUUUCCCUCCGUCAAGAGGCUCAUUUAAACAAGAUUACAGACCCAUUCUUGAUCCCCUCAUUCGUUUCCUCAACGAAAACAGAUCCCCCUUGCUUCUCAACCUGUACCCUUACUUCGCAAUUGCUGGUAACCGCCAAAUAUCUCUGGAUUAUGCACUAUUUAGGUCACAACAGACGGUCGUUUCCGACGGAUCGUUAAGUUACCGAAGUCUUUUUGACGCCAUCUUGGAUGCUGUUUACGCCGCGCUGGAGAAAACCGGCGGGGGGUCUCUGGACAUCGUGAUAUCGGAGAGUGGGUGGCCGACGGCUGGUGGUGACGGGGCGUUGACGAAUGUUGAUAAUGCAAGGACUUAUAAUAAUAACUUGAUACAACAUGUGAAGCGAGGGUCACCAAAGAGGCCUGGAAGGCCUAUUGAGACUUACAUAUUUGCUAUGUUUGAUGAGAAUGGCAAAAUGGGACCUGAGAUUGAGAGGCAUUGGGGACUUUUUGCUCCAAAUAGGCAGCCUAAAUACCAGAUUAAUUUUAAUUAAUUAACUAAGCUAAAGCGACUGCAUGCACCAACAGGAUUCGAGGUAAUAUUUAUACUGGAAUAAAUUCUACUAUAUGUACUAGUGCAUAAGACUUUGUAUCACCACCUUGCAUGGGUGCAUGAGAGCAAAUUUCAUGAGCAAUAAUGUCAAUGUUUACUGUUUUGCAAAGCUUAAUUUAUAAUACUAUGUCCGAUCCUCAUUUGUGUACAACGUGUAGGACAAUUUAAAGGGAUGGUUGACGUUAAAUAACAAUAGGCUUAAAUUAAAACCAAAUGGUUAUCAUAUUGAAAACAAAACUGAAUUGAAUUUGAAAUUUUAGUUUGGUUCAGUGUAAAUUGAACUAUGUGUCCAGUCCUCUCUCUCUCUUUCUAAGAUUUGAAUUUAGAUGGCCAACUAGAAAUUAAAUCGUGUGAAAAUCAUUUGGUCAAGUCCCUAGCAAAGAGUUUUAUCCUGUAGUUGUUUUAUUAAAAACAUGAAAUAUAAUUGUUUGGUUAAGAACAUAUACAAUGCUUUUAAUUAUGGUAUAAAAGUAAAUCAUAAUUAUCGAAUUUUUGGAGCUUACAUUACCGCUACCGCUGUAUAACAUAGUCUAAUAUACAAGGAAAUAAUUUGUUGAAUAUAUCUAAUUAUAACACGAUCCAUUUUUCACUUGAGUCUUGUCGACUAAUACAUUAAUAAUAUGUUUUGUGCUUGUCAUCACUUGAUAAGAAUCAUACAAAGAUGAUGCAUAUACAGCAAGGAUCAAGAUCAUAAUGUGAUGCACAUGUGACAGCGAUAAGGACCAUAGUAAUAUACACACAUGGCAAGCAUCAAGAGCAUCAUGUGAUGCAUAGAUAGAAAGAAUCAAGACCAUUUAGACAUGCACAGAUGACAAUAAUCAAGACCAUUAUAUCAUACACAUAUGAAAAGUACCAAGAAUAAAAUUAAAUUUGAAAGCUGAAUUCCUCAUUUUCAAUUUUUGAUUAUUUUCCUUUAUGUUAUUUAAAAUCUUGUAUAAAUAAGCCUUUGAGCCAAUGAGAAUAAUAAGAGUGAAAUCUAUAUUUUCUCUUAAAAGUUUUCAAUCACCUUGUUUAAACUCUAGAAACCUUAUUCAAGCAGCCUGCUGACAGAGUGAAAUUUAGUUAUCGGUUGACUUGACAUUAACACAUAUGCAGAAGGUCGAUGAUGAUACCAACAAAAUUGAGUUUUCUAUUUUCCACAUAACAAGAUAACAAGUAGCAUUCAAUUGGAAUUCUGCUGCCUCAUUGAGCACGUAUCGAUAAAAAGAUUUAGAAUAUACAAAUACAAUAUUGAAAGUGGCAGUUUUGGCAUUAUUUGUUACAGCAGACAAAGACUUAGUUAACAUCUUCUUUCACUCCAAUUGAUUUUGGUCUAAUUUAUUGGUCCUGGCUAUUCCUCAAUGAAAAAUACAAUAUAUAAAAAUCAAAUUAUGAAAAAUAUAAUGUUUAUCCUCUGCUAAUCUAUUUCCAAAAAUUGCAGGAAUCCCAUCGGAUGGGCUAAAAGUACCAUAUCUUCUCAUAAAUUAACAUGUCAUCAUGACCAAAUAAAGGUGCAAUUCUUUUCCUAGUUUUAAAAGUUGAGAACUCUAAACUUUUUUAUUAUUAAUGCUGUUUGAGCAAGAGUAAGAAGCUUUAAUCCUUUCAGGUGAGUGGGUAGAAAAUUGAAUUGUCCUUAGGCUAACAUUUAAAAAAAAAUCAUAUUUGUAGAAGCCGUAACAAUAAAAUUUUGUUUCUAACGUCCUUCUCGAGCUCUACAAGUUAUUACAAGGCAGCAUCAGCAUGCAUAUGCAUGCAGGUUUUCUUGUGUAGCAUGUGCACCAGAUAAUUAAAUAUCAAUAAUUAAAAAUUAUUUUUUGAUAGCACUUUUGAUUGGUAUGAUCUUUAACCGAAAUGGAUCAAUUGAGUAAGGGCUCAUGCUCAUCAGCUCAUGCACAUGCAUGAAUGGCGACUUAAUUAAGCAACAAAUUAAUAUUAAAGCCACCAACAAGAUAUUUCUAAAUUGAGAACGUCUACAUAUUUUUGUAAUUUGUACAUGGAUCCUUUGAGUUAAAUGUUGUCACAUAUGCGUCGGCGUAUCUUCAAAAUAAGCAACCAUACGAUAAAGUAAAUUUAUACAGAAUGAUUAUAUAAGUAACACGUGACAUUAUACAAUAUUGGAUUUUUUCAUGACCACGUCGAUGAUAAAAUCUAAUCACGUCUUGCUCCACUUUUUAAUACCAGAUUAAAAAGAACCGCGUUGUUGAGUAAUUGAAUGUCAACAAAUAUGAACACCGCAAGUAUGGAGGAAAUUGCAGAAGGGCACAGCCAAUGAGACAAAAGAUAGCGACAUGCUCAAGAAAAUUAUUAACUUCAGUACUUUUCAAAGAACCCAAAAACAAACUGGUUGAGUACUUUGUUUCGAAAUACUUAAGAUGUCAACAUAUUAUCAACGUGGCAAUACACACACACACAUAUAUAUAUUUUUUCCUGCCAACAUGGUUCAUGGUUAUGGUUACUCUAUAAGAGGCUGCUUAGAAGAGGUGUUGGUAUCACAACUUUCCAUUUGCAUUUUUCUCUAUGGCUAAAUUCUUAUCCUCUCUCAAUACCCAUUCAAUGGUUUCCGUCGUCUUGCUACUGCUGGGGCUGCUAGUGGCUAUCCUAGACACUACAAGUAUGUGCGUGUGCAUAUAUUUCUCUAAGGAAAUGAUCCAAACCUCCUGUUGUUUGUAAAUUAAUCGUUUCCUCUAUGUUUCAAAAUCCAUCAAAACUGUCCACUGUUCACAGGGAUGAUCAAUUGAUUUUCAAGUAGUUUUCUCUCGCUAACCACCCAAGUUCGAAAAUUGGGAGAGAUUUUGGGGCUAAAAAAGUGUUUUCUAUUUUGCGCUCAAUUGACCCUUUUUUUCAAAGAAAAAAAAUCAUCACAAAUCCUUGUGGCUAAGAAAUUUCUGUUAACUUUCAAUUUUUGUAUCUUCUAGUAUUUUAUUCCUAAGACUUUUAUUGAUAAAUAAUGAGAUUUAAUGUUUUACUAGUAAAAGACACACAAGAAGUUGGAAUUUAAUAGAAAAUUUUAAAAGACGAGGGUUUUAAGUGCGAAAUGAUUAAUUUACUGAAUCCAACAUAGCGGUUUGCUCAUUUUCCCUAUCUAUCUUUCUCUAUGUAUUGAUAUUAUUCAUAACUAUAAGUUUUAAUUUGUUGAUUCUAUGUAUAUCAUUGCAGGUGCUCAAAUAGUUGUUUGCUAUGGAAUGUGUGGUAACAACUUACCAUCAAAACCAGAUGUCAUAGCUCUCUGCUACCAAAACAACAUCAGAAGAAUGAGAAUCUAUGAUCCAAACAGAGAGGCCCUCGAAGCUCUUAGAGGCUCCAACAUUGAAGUCAUGUUGGGCCUUCCCAACAACGACCUCCGAAGAAUCGCUUCCAAUCAAGCCGAAUCAAACACUUGGGUCCAAAACAACGUCCAAAAUUUUGCUAACAAUGUCAAGUUCAAGUACAUUGCUGUAGGAAAUGAAGCAAAACCGGGAGACGACUUCGCUUGGUAUCUUGUUCCCGCCAUGAGAAACAUACAAAACGCCAUUAAUGGAGCUAACCUUGGAAGCCAAAUUAAAGUUUCCACUGCCAUUGAAUCUAGAGCUCUUGAAGUAUCCUCUCUGCAGGAUCCUUUAGGCAAGACAACAGACAAAUUUUGGGUCCACUUAUUACUAUCCUCAACGAAAACAAAUCUUCGUUGCUUGUUAACUUGUACCCUUACUUCGCCAUCGCUGGUGACCGUCGAAUAUCUUUUGAUUAUGCACUAUUUAGUUGGAUGCUACUUAUGCUGCGUUGUGUUGAAUAUAUGCAACCAUUUUUACUUUGGUUAAAAAUGCAUGUGGCUAGCAUAGAAAGGUUGAAUAUGCCAUCAAGGUUAGCACCGAACCUUGAAAAUUUGAAAAGUGCCAAGACUUUUGCUUUGAAAAUGGCUAGCAUGCAUGGCAAGGUUCAACUAUAAAUAGAGGAGUAAUUGUUCAUUGAAGGCAUUCCAAAAUUUGAGAGAGUGACAAUUCAAUUGUAGAAUUAUUAAGAGAGUGAGUUAUUGGAGAGUGUGUAAUUAAGAGAUUUUUCCUUUUAAGUGUGUGAGAGUACUAGGUCUAUUUGGGUUUUGGAAAGUGAAGUUUCCUUUACUCAAAUAUUGUACUUCAAUAAUUGUUAGUGAUACAAUUAUUUUCUCUUCCUCCCGUAGACGUAGGCAUAUUGUCAAACCACGUUAAAUUUUGUGUUCUUCCUUUUUUUGUGAUUAUUUGGUGCGCUCGAUGCCACAUUCCGCGCACAAUAAGUGGUAUCAGAGCAGACAGUUCAUAAAUGAUAUUGUUCACGUAUACAAUAUUAUUCAUGUGCAGUAUUGUUUAUGAAUACGGUGGAGCUAGUAGUUCGUAUUUAGGAGGAUCAAUAUUUUGUGUAGUGUGGAUUUGUACAUGUUUAGUGCGUUUUUUCCAUACAUAUUGAUCUCUAAGGUAGGAAUAAUUUAUUGAGAAAAUGGUAGAAGGUGAAACUUACAGAACUGGGGAGAGAUCUACCCAAACUAUUCUAGGAGACACUACGGGUGGGAAGCGAGACUUGUCACAUCGCCAAUCAGCACCUGUUAUAGGAGAUCAAAAGAUCGAUGUUGAAAAUUUUGAUGGGAAAAUCAACUUCGGCAUAUGGAGGCGCGGAGUUAUGGAUGCUCUUAUUCAAAUCAAUCUCGAUGUUUUUCUGAAAAAUAAAAGAUACAUGUAUGACAAAGAAACUUGGGAUUGUAUGAAUGAAAAAGCUUGUGGUCAAAUCAGAUCUUUCUUGACCAAGGAAGUGAUAUAUUUAGCGAAAGAUAAGGAGCGUGUGAUGACUUUUUGGCGUGCAUUCGAGGAGAAGGACUUGUUGAAAGGUUUUAAAAAUUAUCUUCAUGCAAUGAGCCAAGUAUAUGACUUUCGAAUGAAGGCCGGGGUGUCAAUGAACGAUUAUGUCUCAAGAUUUGAGAAUGUGCUUAUAGAUUUGAAAAAUCUUGGUAAAGAUAAUAAGGAUGAAGUUAAGGGACGAUUCUACUACACUCACUUUCAAAAGAAUAUAGUCAUUUUGUGACCACUUUAUUAUAUGGGAAAAACAUGAUUAUCUUCAAGGAUGUUUGCACAGUAUUAACUAAUUUAAAAAUUCAAAAUAAAGAUAAGCGUUCUGAAAGAGCAUCAUCUGAAGCUUUGUCGGCCAGAGAAGGACGAUAGAGAAAAAGAAAAAUCGAGGUGAAAAGAAUUCUCGGUCCAAAUCGAGAAGCAGAAAUAUAGCUCAAGAUUAGUGUCUUUUUGUCAUGAGAGUGGCCAUUGAAAGAAAGAUUGUCCAAAGGCUCAGAAGAGAGGGAAGAAACCAGUAGCAAGAAAUAUGACAUGUAAAGAUGAAGACUCUGAUUAUUCGUUAAGUAUUACGCCAGCAGCAUACGUGGCUAAUUUGAGUGAGUGGAUACUUAAUACUGGAGUUAUCUACCAUUUGUGUCCUAUAAAGAAAUGAUUUAUAGAUUUCUGUGAUUUAGAAUCCAAUUUAGUUAUGAUAGGGAAUGAUCAACCUUGUCGCACAAUGGGGAUAAGAGCAAUUCGGCUCAAAAUGUUCGACGGAAUGGUCAGAGAACUGAAAGAAGUUAGAUAUGUUCCAACUCUGAAGAAGAAAUCAAAUUUCUGUAAGUGCUUUGGAGGCUAAAGGCUACAAGGUUACCAUUGAAGAUGGCAAAAUGAAGUUCACACAUAGGGUUAUAGUGAUUCUACAAGGGGUUUGAUGUCAUAAUUUAUACUAUUUGAAAGAAGGUAUAACCGAUGAGCUAAUGUUUGUGAUGGACACAGUAACACCACCAAGCUAUGGCAUGUACGACUAAGACAUGCUGGAGAAAAGUCUCUGCAAACUCUAAUGAAGCAUGAACUUUUGAAAGGUACCAACACCUGUAAAUUGAAAUUUGGUGAGUAUUGUGUUGUUGGCAAGAAAAUAAGGGUCAAGUUUGGUAUGACUAUUCACGAUACUCAUGAUAUCUUUAAAUAUGUUUACAAUGAUAUAUGGGGACCAGGAAAGACUGCAUUAAUUGGUGAAAGCCAUUAUUUUGUUUUAUUUGUUGAUUAUUUCUCUAGAUGUGAUUGGCUGUACACCAUGCGAGUAAAUGAUGAGAUUCUAGAGAUUUUCGUGAAAUGAGAGAAAUUUAUGGAGACUUAAACUAGCAGAAUGAUCAAAGUAUUACGUCCUCAUAAUUGGGGUGAAUAUACUUCUGAUCUAUUCUUGUAAGUAUACCAGAGUGAGGGUAUUAAAAGACAUUUCAUGGUGAGAUAUACUUUGCAACAGAACGAUGUGGCUGAGCGUAUGAAUCGUACUUUACUGGAGAAAGUACACUGUAUGUAUCUAAUACUGGUUUAGAUAAAAAGUUUUGGGCUAAGGUUUUGAGCUACGCAAAUCACUUGAUAAACAACUUGCCUUCUACUAUAAUUGGAGCUAAAACUCCUAUGGAAAAAUGAUAUGGAAAACAUGCACAAAACUAUGACUCCAUUCGUAUGUUUAGGAGUCCAACUUAUUAUCCUAUAAAGAAUGAUAAACUCGAUCCUCAUGCAAGAAAAGCUAUCUUUAUGAGAUUUAAAGGUGGAGUUAAAGGAUGCAAGUUAUGGGAUCUUGAAAAUAAAAAGUUUGUGUAUAGCAGAGAUGUCACUUUUGAUUAAGCCUCUAUGUUGAAGGUUUUAAGUUCUCAGUAGGUGGAGAACAAGACCAAUGAGACAUUACGGUGGGUGGAGUUUGAUAUAACUUUAUUUUUACUAGUUAGUUCUACAUAAGAGAAGAUUUCAACUUUAGAGGAGCCCAAGAGUAGAAGAAAAAGCUUUUUCUGUUGAUGUCCCACAAGAGGAAAAAACAACUGAAGAUAUAGAAGAUGAAAAUGACAGUAUAGCAAUAGGGAGACAAAAAAAAGUGAUAAAGAAAACCGAAUGUCUUACUAAAGACAUGGUGGUAUCCUAUGCACUUCCAGUUAUUGAUGAUGACAUCCCCAACUCUUUCAGUGAUGCUUUAUGCAGUACUAAAAGUGACCAAUGGAAGUUAGCUAUUGAAGAAGAAAUGAAGUCUCUUUAUCAAAAUUAGACUUGGGAACUUGUGGAGUUACCUAAGGGAAAAAGGGCUAUUGGCAAUAAAUGGGUCUACACCAAGAAGCAAGGUUCUCCAAAUUAAACAACUCCUCGAUACAAGGCAAGACUUAUAGCAAAAGGCUCUACUAAAAAGGAAAGUAUUGACUACAAUGAAGUGUUCUCUCCAGCUUUAAAGCAUACUUCCAUUCAUAUCCUAUUUGCCUUGGUAGCUGAAUAUGACUUAAAGUUUGCUCAACUAGAUAUUAAAACGUCAUUCUUACAUGGAGAUUUGGAGAAUGAAAUCUAUAUGACUCAGCCUUGUGGUUUCAAAAUUGCUAGAAAUGAGAAUUAUAUGUGCAAAUUAAUUAAAUCUUUGUAUGUAUUGAAACAAUCACCAAGACAAUAGUACAAGAGAUUUGAUCAAUUCAUACAAGGGUAAAAAUUUACCAGAAGUGAACUCGAUUACUGUGUUUACUUUAGAAGACUACAAGAUGGGACUUUCAUCUAUCUGUUACUCUAUGUCGAUAAUAUUCUUAUAACUUUGAAGAAUAGAUGUGAGAUUGAAAGGUUAAAGAAGCAGUUGACUUCUGAAUUUGAGAUGAAAGACUUGGGUGAUGCAUAGAGAAUACUUGGAAUGGAGAUGCGUGGAGACAAAAAGAAUGAGAGUGUAUGGUUAACGUAAAAGUCUUAUUUGAAGAUGCAAAAGAGUUUGGUAUAGAUGACAAAACUAAAACAGUUUCUACUCAUUUCAAAUUAAGCUCUUAUUCAUGUCGUACAUCUCAAGAGGAGCAUGACUACAUGGCUCGUGUUCCAUAUACUAGUGAUGUGGGUAGUCUUACGUAUGUUAUGGUGUGCUCAAGGCCGUGAGUAUAGCUAGUUAAUACAUCAUAAUCUAAACAAAAACCAUUGGCUUGCAAUGAAGUGAAUGCUCUGAUAUUUGUAUGGGACAGUCAAUAUUGGAUUAUUGUUAAAAAAAAAUUAUGGUCAAUAAUGUGUUAGGUAUUGCAAUUCUAAUUUUAGCGGAGACCUUGACAAGUAAAGAUCAACAACGGGCUAUGUAUUCACAUUGGGUGGAGGUUCGAUUAGUUGGAGGUUGAUUUUACAAUCAACAAUUGCUCUUUCCACUACGGAAGAAGAGUAUAUGGCAGCAACUGAUGCUGUAAAGGAAGCUAUUUGGUUUAAGGACUUGUUACGAUAUUUGGGAGUAAUCUAAGAGAAUAUUGAGGUCUUCUAUGAUAACCAAAGCGCGAUAUUCCUAGUAAAGAACCAAACAUAUCAUACUCGGACAAAGUACAUAGAUAUGAAAUAUCAUUAUGUGAGGGAGGUUAUCGAGAGCGAUGUUAUGUUGUUAAGAAAGAUUGAUACCAAAUAUAAUCCAUCAGAUAUGUUGUCAAAGGUGAUUUUGGGUACUUAGGCAAUCACAGCUAUGCAACCACUUUAGAGAUGAUGGAUCAUUAAUAGUCGGCUCAGAUUUGACAAAUCUGAGCUAAGGUAGAGAAUUGUUGAGCACAUGCAAUCUUUUUUACUUUAGUUAAAUAUACAUAUGGCUAGCAUAGAAAGGAUUAAUAUGCCACCAAGGUUGGCACCGAAUCUUGAAAAUUUGAAAAGUGCCAAGAAUUUUGCUUUGAAAAUGGCUAGCAUGCAUGGCAAGGUUUAGUUAUAAAUAGUGAAGCAAUCGUUCAUUGAAAGCAUCCCAAAAUUUGGGAGAGCAACAAUUCAAUUGUAAAAUUGUUAAGAGAGUGAGCAACUGGAGAGUGUGUAAUUGAGAGAUUUUUUCUUUCAAGUGUGUGAGAGUAUUGGUUGUAUUUGGGUUUUAGGAAGUGAGAUUUCCUUUACUCAAACAUUGUACUCUAAUAAUUAUUAGUGAUACAAUUAUUUUCUCUUGCUCCCGUAGACAUAAGCAUAUUGCCGAACCACAUUAAAUUUUGUGUCCUUUAUUUUUCUUAUGAUUAUUUGGUGCUCUUAAUUCCACAUUCCCCGUACAACAUGUUGGAGAAAGCGGUGGGGCUCGUUGGAUAUUGGGAUAUCAAAAAGAGAGGGGCCAACAGCAGGUUGUGACAGAGCAUUAAUUAAUGUGGAAAAUUGUUGGUUAAUUUUAAACUCAAUUGCUAUUGAUGCCAAUAUGCAAGUGUACAUAACAAGUAAUAAAGUGAUGAGUAUUUAAGAUCGUCUCCAUAGGGAUUGAUGUUACUAGAAAUACUACAGCAAUCACAAUAGUGCUAUCUACCUUUAUUUCAAGAUGAACAAAUUCAAAGUUGUUUGCUAUCGAAAUUAACAAUUGUAAGGAAAUAAAACAACUAACUGCAGUAAUAAAAUAAACUAAGUAAAUUUCUUAAAAGAAUCAAUUGAGAAUGAGGUAGUUGAAUGAUCAAACUCUCUUCAUGGGUUGACUGUUUUUCAUCAAAUUAAUACCAAUUGCUACAGCAAUUCCUACAGCACUAGGCAGAAUUAUUUUGCAUCCUCAACUGUCGCGUGUUGGACUUCUCAUACCUUUAAGUAUCUUAACAUCGACUAGUUGCUAUUCUACAUGAGGCAUGUCAUUGUGAACAUCCACUCUAUCAACCCUACAAGGUGAGUGCAUAUUUCUAGUUUUUCACAAAUCUUAACUUCAAGUAUAGCCCUUAUGGGAUUCAAGAUAAACUCAAUCCAGGAAACUCAAAUUAAGAUCAAGUAUUACUCCCGUAAUAUCCACUAAGACAUGCCAUUUUGCGGCUCUAUCUUAACUUGAAGCAUUAAAUGGGUGGCCAACCGAAAUAACAAUUAUAAUAAUAGCUACUGGAGUAAAAUGCUAUAACAAUCAUACAACAACUCAUAAGAACAGUCAAAAACCCAUUCAGAUUGUUUGUCACUCAACUAUAAGCAAGUUUAGUUCAUCUUUUGAAAAAGAGAAAUAAACAGCAAACUAAUGGUCACGAAAUACAUUGGUUCAAUCAAAGAGCAGAGAAGAGAACAAGUAAAGAAUGAUGGAGACUGAAUCCAAACAACUCUCUGGAUUCGUUACUGAUCCAGCAUCCGUUCCCUUGAAUUCUGAUUGUGUUCUUCUUGUCCUCUUGAUUUUUUCUAUGUUAAUUCCUUGCCGCCAUUUUAUGUGUUGCGCGCCUCUUUUUAUACUGAAAAUUAGGAUAAGCAUAAGCCUAGGGCGCGCAUGAGUCAGAUUAGGAAAAUGUAGAUAUCAAUUAUGCAAAUAUCUCGUGCUAAGAUUUCUCUAUCAUUGUUCCAGGAUUGCUACAGCAAUGGCUGCUCCAGCAACCAGUCUAGCACUGUACUGUUCCAUAUUUUAUUUUACUUCUUUUGUGCCAGCCUAUUGCUUCAACAUUCUUUUCCUGAAUCAUAAGCUUCUGAAAACCUACGAUUAUGCACACAAUUUGAUCACAAAUUAAAUUAAUCAAGCAAAACUUAUUAGGAUGAAACUAAAAUGAAUGUUUAUGCAAAAUGUAACAAAAAUGCAAUAAAAACACAUCAUUUGCUCUCUAAGUGAUCUCGAUUUAAGUUUAGAAUUGUCAUAAUAACUCUCAUUUUAUAGAGUUAUCAAUAAUGCAAGGACUUCUAAUAAUAACUUUAUACAGCAUGUGAAGUAAGGGUCACCAAAGAAGCCUAACAUACCUGUUAAGACUUACUUUUUUGCUAUGUUUGAUGAGAAGGAAAAACAGGGAGCUAAGAUUGAGAGGCAUUAGGGACGUUUUGCUCCAAACAAGCAGCCUAAAUACCAAAUUAACAAUUAACCAAAUCAGAGCAACUGCAUGCAACAGCAAAUUUAAAGUUAUAUUUGUAAUGCAAUAAAUUAUUGCACCAUAUGUAUUACAAAAUAAGAGUUUUUAUGAUCACCUUGCAUCUAUGCGUGAGGCCAAAUUUCCGUUAUCAAUAAUAUCAUAUUCUCUUUCAAUUUUUUGUAAUGUCAUGGAUUGUGGUAUUUAAUUAUAUAUCAUAUUCUCUUACAAUUUUUUUGCUUAGGUCAAUCAACAUGUAAUGUAAUUAUUCCUUGGCUUUUAUGUAAUGUAAAAACGCGCCCACAUCAUCACACAUGAACACUUGGGUAAACAAUUACAUUUCCCUUUUCUUCAAGGAAAUUUGACUGGAGCUUUCUGCGAAUAUAGUCUUAUUAAGACAAAAAGAUCAAAAUUAUGUGGCUGCAGUUUCUGCGUAUAAAAUACCAAUGAUCUUUUAGCAUGAUCUUGAUGACUUGUGUAAUUUUAUUUUUUACACCUCAAUUGUUAGGAUAUCAAUAUAUCUUUUAUACAUGCCAUUUACAUUCCUUCUAUUAAUUAUAUAUGUUGAAAGGCUUGUGUAGAGCUCACCUUUGUUGCUCUUUCUUAUAAGUUAUCACCUCUAUUAUGGAAAUAAGAAAAAUCUUUGAUGAAAACCAUCAUCUAUAAUCCAGGAACAUUCAUGUUGUAUCACCAAGAAUUAAUAACUAAAUUAUGCAGAAGUUUACCUAAAUCUAUAACCCUGACUUGCUCUAUGGGGUUGUGUGGUUGGCCUUCCAGAUAUUCACAUUCUCCUAGAGAGUCAUUUCUCUCUGAUGAUAAUGUCAAUAGAGAAUAGAAAGAUACGUGUAACCUGGGGACCAUAACCACUUAUAUAGACAACUUGUUCCUGUUGUCACUGGGUAUUCCUAAUUCUACCCAUUAUAGAAUUAGAAUACUAUUAGGUCUCACACAUUGAAGGCCCACACCCUAUUUUAUGCAUUAAAGCCCAUAAUACCGAAAAUCCAAAUAGAUAACUUUUAAUUGAGGUUAACCUUAUAUGAAAAUCUACAACACAUAAUUAUUUACAUAUAAGCCCAAUGUUGGAUUAAGGAUCCAACAAUAUUGGAUUAAAAAAUCUAACAAUCUCCCACUUGGGCCAUAUGUGUAACCUUAUAAUUAUAUUUUACAAAAAUAAUCAUAUGAGCUCAACCUUACUACCAUUACCAUAAUGUAUAUGUAACCAAUCCGGUCCAUCAAUCAUACCAACAUAGAAUUAAAUCGGCCUUCGCUACGAUUAUUGUAACUCGACUCAUCAAUGGUCGCUAUGCCAAUAAGACUAAAUGACAUGGGUCAUGAUGUGGAUGUGCAGCAUGGAAAUUUCAUGCAAUGUGAUCUUAAUGUGCCUAUUUCCAACUGGUUCACCUUAAACUUUACUAAGAUCAAACCAUACCAAAAUCAGAGUGUGAAUAAACUAAAACUUUAUUUCUGUAGAAAAUAACCUGAAAUAUCCAUAAACUAAAAUAACUAAAAAUGUCUAUAUUAUAAGAGCAUCUAAAAUCACAAAUUCCCACUAAAAUUGAUUAUCCUUUAACGACAUGACACCCAUAUGAGCAGUGUGCUCAUGAAACAUCUUGAGGGGCAAUCCCUUAGUAAACAGAUCCGCAAUCAUGGAGUCUAUGUCGAUGUGCUCAAUAGACAAUUGUCCACUCUGAACUUUUUCUUUAACAACUAGGAACUUGAUGUCUAUAUACUUUGACUUUGUUGAGCUCCUGUUGUUAUUGGAAUACAGCACUGCUGACUUAUUUUCACAAAAUAAUUUGAGUAGUCUAUCAACAUUAUCUACUAUAUGCCGCUGGUGACUUUGAUUAAACAAAUAUUUAUGAAUUGUGCUUUUAUAAUAAGAAAAUGAUGUUAUGGAAUUAAAGCAUUUAGGACUAAAAUGAAAGUAUUUUAAAAACUUUGAUAUUAUUUUUAAAUUUUAGAUUUAGACAUAUUUGAAACUAUUUAAAUAUUUUGGGUUAUUCUAUAAUUUCACAUAACUUAGGUGAAAUCAUAAUUUCAGAAAGUUUUGGGAUUGACAAAGCAUUAUUUAGAAAUUUUGAAAUUGGACCUAUUUGAAAGAUUUCAUAACAUUUUGGGCCAUAAAAUAGUUUUAUAAAGUUUUGAGGUCAAACUGUAGGAAGCGGCUAACCGGAUAUGGUAAGCGACAAUCCGGAUUUUGGGCAGUAAGCUUCUGAAGCAUAAGCGGUUAUCCGGAUUUCGCAAGCGACUAUCCAGAUUUCAAAAGCGGCUAACCAGAUAUGAAAAGCGGCAUGCCGGAUAUUCUGAAAUUCAAAUUUUUGCCUUAACAGUAACAUAAAAGCGGCUAACCAGAUUCCAUAAACGGUAAGCCGGUUAUGACCAAAAUGUGCAUAACGGCCAGUUUUUGGGGUCAAACUAUAUAAACUCAAAUCCAAUUCAUUUUCAAGCUCUCUAGCACGCAUAAACAAAAAACACACAAGAUAUCUUGAGCUCUCAAUUCGCAAAUCAUAAAACAUUGAAUCAUUUCUUGUUCUUCAUCUUGAAUAUCUACUCUUUGAGUGAGUUUUGUUGUAAUUUUUAUUUCUUCAUCUUAAUUGUAAGUGUUUGAGUGUGUGAGACACUUGAGUGAAGAGAUUGGGAGAUAAUCUCUUUGUUGUAAAGGUUCAUUGACACCUUGAAGUCAAUUGUAAACGUUUGAAGCCUUGGAAAGGCUUGGAUAGUGAAAUCCUCAAGCUUGGAUUGCUUGGAGGCGUGGACGUAGGCGGGGAUUGCCGAACCACGUAAAAAUUUGUUUGUUUAUUUCUCUUCUCCCUUGCUCAUUUGUUAUUGUGCUUUUAUUGAACUUAUUGCUUUCGAAUUUAUUAAGGCGUUAGAUUGGAUUAUUUUAAAAUACCAAUUCACCCCCCUCUUGGGUUGCACACUUAUAUUUCAGCAGCCCCGUGACAAAAUUUUGUAUCCAUAUUCCGUGAUUAAAUGCAUCAUAACAUUCUAUGAACUUUGUUGCCAUUAUAGAAGAGGAUAUAAAAGACUAUUUAGCAGUCUUCCAAGAGACAGCACCCCCAAAUAAUAGAUAGAUGUAACCCGAAGUGAAUUUCAUACUAUCUUAGCAUCCAAAAAAAUCAGAGUCAGUAAACCCAAUGAUUUCAAGUUGAUCUGACCUCUAAUAUGUGAGCUUGUAAUCUUUCGUUCUCUGUAAGUAUUGUAAGACCUGUUUAGUUGCUUUCCAAUAGUCUAUUCCUGAUUACUUAAAUAUCUUCUAAACAUCCCAAUGACAUACUCAAUAUCCGAUCACGUACAAACUUGAGCAUAUAUCAAACUUUCUACUGUUGACGCAUAAGGAAUCCUCUGCAUUUCCUUUUCCUCAAAAUCAUUCUUAGGGCACUGAUUGAGACUAAACUUGUCUUCGUUAGUCACAAGGGUAUCGCCUCGUUUGUAAUUUUGCAUGCCAUCAAUAUAGCUCUUCUAAGAUAAUCUAAGAAUACCCUAGGGGCGAUCCUAGUGUAUCAGUUUGCCUAAUACAAAAGAGGCGUCACCAAGAUCUUUCAUCUCAAAAUUCUUAGUUAGAAAUCUCUUGGUGUCGUGCAACAAGCCUAUAUCGCUACUGAUAAGCAAAACGUCAUCGAUAUAUAAAACUAGAAAAAUAUAUUUGUGUUGAGUGUUAGAAAAAGUAUAUUUAUAAAGGAGAAAAUCGUCAUUUUACACUUCAAGUUUUACUAACACCCUUACUUUUAUGUAUUUAAACUUCUUGUCAUUUAAUUAUGUGUGUUGUAUUAUAAUUAAGUAUUUUAUGUAUUUUAGGGGCAUCAUAGUCAUUUCACAAUAAACGAGAGAUCAGACGGCAAAACGGACAUCACUUUUGAACUCAGGACGGUCGAAAACCUUAGGAGGAGCAUAAAAGGAAAAAUGGCACUGUUCACAUGUACAGUACUAUUCACAUGUACAGUACUGUCUACGUUACUGUUCACGACACUGUUCACAUAGACGGAUCGAUGACGUGGUAUUGACCGAUGAUGUGGCAUUGACUGAUGAGAUGUCACGAUUAUGUUGGACUAAAAUUCUUAUGCACUGUUGAUCGAUGACGUGGCAGCACAUCAGUGGACCAAAAAUCUUGCGUACGGUACAUGCAUUACACAGGAUUAUUUUCAACCAAACCGCGUCACUGUUCAAGCCAGGUCAAACUGUGUUACUGUUCAAACCGCGUGGUCAAACCGUGUACUAUUGACCGAUGAUGUGGCGCAAUCCUGAGCGUCCGAAAUAUUUUUGAUCUGAUGGCCAUGAUUUACUCAAUGUAUUUAUAAAAAAGGGGCUCUCCCCCCUAAUUUGAUAUCUCUGAAUCCAUUUUUGGAUUCCAUUUUCUGUAAUUCCUUCUCCAUCUUGUAUUUUCUACGUAUUUUAAUAAAUUUUCAUUUUGCCCCUAGUUCAAUUAUGAGUAGCUAAUUUUCUUUCAUGCUUGGGUUGAAGGUGAAGCCUCAACAUGUGUCAUGGGCUUUAUUUGGUAAAUUUAUUUUCUCUUCCCCUCUAGUUUUUGUGGAUGUUUUGACUUCUCGUUGACAAAUAAUAAUAAGCUUAUCUAGAUACCGCCCUGGUUUCACCGGCUCCCUAGUACAAGGUUAUUAUUAUUUGGCACGAUAAGCCCUUAGCACCAUAUUGAUUAGAGUGUGGUUCAUGAGGUGUGAAUUCCCCCCUCAUGAUUUAAUUUGUAUUAAUAAGGAAUAUUUAGCCUAUGGUGCAUGUUGAUACGGAUCCAGAUACCCAAGUACGUCAUUUCAAUAGAUUUCUAUUCAAUUCAUUCUCACCAUUUAAAAUCUAAUUUUAGAAUAAUCUAAAGUCACUUUCACCACAAAUCCAACCACUCAUUUAAAAAAUUAAUUCUACACAUUUAAAAUCCACCUCCUCGUGGGAUCGACACUCGUCACCAUUGAUUUAUACUACAAUAGAUUCGUGCGCUUGCGAGUUCAAUAAAAUUUGCACAACAAUUUGCUCCUAUAGAACUUAUGGUAUAUGCAAUCAUCGACUAAAUUCAUCUCAAAACUGAAUGAGAUGAUCACUUGAUGAAGUUGAAAUACCAUUGUCGAGAUGCAUGUUUAAGCCCAUAGCUGAUUUCUUAAAUUUGUAAACUAUAUUCUUUGGGUCUCUGGAUAUAAAGUUUUCUGGUUGCACUAUAUAGAUUGUCUCAUCAAUGUCACCAUUGAGAAAUGUCGUCUUUACAUUCAUAUGAUGUUACACAAGAUUGAAAUACACCAUCAAUGCCAUUAUAAUCCUCAAAGAGUCUUUCAAAGAAACCGAAAAGAAAGUCUCUUUAUAGUCGAUGCCUUCUUUCUGUGUAAAGCCCUUGGCGACAAGACGCGCCUUGUACCUCUCCACAUUGCCUUUGGAAUUCCUCUUGGUCUUAAAUAUCUAUUUGAAACUAAUAGGUUUUGUACCUUCUGAUAAUGGGAUAAGAUCCUAAAUGUCAUUGUCCUUUAUGGACUUCAUCUCUUCAUUCAUGGCAUCAUGGCUUGACGGAAAUUAAUUGGAUCAUUUUCCAUCAUUUCAAUGUCUACCGCAUGUUCUUGGAGAAAUAUAAUGUAAUCAUCUGGCAAUGCACUUCUCCUUUCCUUAUAAAUCUCCUUAAUGGCAUAGGUUCUUGAGAUAGUAAAGUUUAGGAUUCUCUAAUAUUAUCCUGAUCUAUUAUGUUUUGAACAAAGUGAAGAAUGAGACCCCGAUCAAUGCAAAUAACACCUAUAGGAAUAUUAACAUAUUCCUCUUCAAAGACAAAGUCUCUAGUUGUAUCUCCCCCGCAAACUCGACAUCCUCAAAGAACCGAGCCAUUCCCAACUCGAAAAUCGACUUAGUCGUGGGAUCAUAAAAUUUGUACCCCCGGAUCGUUCUAAGUGCCCAAUAAAAUAUUAACUCACCAUUCUUGAGUCCAUUUUCUUCUCAUUAAGCCUAUAAAGCCUUGUCUUAACUGGACAUUCUCAAACAUGCAAGUGCUUUAAACUAGACUUCUUGCCUAUCUAAACCUGAUAAGGGGUUUUGGUAGUCUCCUUAAUUGGAAUUCAUUAUUUCGGUUGACCACCCAUUUAAUGACACUAGCUAAGAGAGAACUAUAAAAGGGUAUGUUUUAGUAAAAUAUAUCAGAGCAAUACUUGGUUCUAUACUGAAUUUCUUGGACUAAGUUUUACUUAAUUCCAAAACGGUCAUAUUUAAUCUAAGAUUAGUGAUGAACUAGACAUAGGGAUUCAUCUUGUAGGGUAAAUAGAACCUAAACGUGUAAUGUUAUAUCUUGUGUUGGCAUAACAAUUGGUCAUUGUUAGGUUGCAUAAAAAUACAAGAUAUCCAACAUGUGAUAGCUGAGGAUACAUAAGGAUUCUAUCAGUGCGGUAGCAAAUGCUACAACAACCGAACCGAAAAUUAGAAGAAAUAGUCAAGACCAUUAAGAGAGUUUAUUCCCAUUAGUUUCAUCUUUACGUGUGACGUGAUAAUUUACUUUACUGCAUUUUUAUUUGUUGCAUUUUUAUUUUAAUUGGCUUAUUAGUUUUAUUAAGUGUUUAAUUUUCAAUUAAAGUAAAAUUGCACUAUUAAGAUUGUUAUAGCAAAUCUAAUAACAUCAAUCCCUGUAGAGAUAAUCGCGAAUAAUUAUCAUUAUAUUACUUGUUGUGUACACUUGCACAUUGACACAUAUAACGUAAGAAAUCGCGCAACAGGAUUCUACUUAGGAUAUAUGCUGCAAUCUUAAGGGCUUCUCCCCAGAGUCAUUCUGGUAAGAUAGAAUGACAAAUCAUACUCCUCACCAUAUCUUUAAGCAUCAAGUUUUGUCUUUCAGCAACACCAUUCAUAGUGAGCAAACCCGGCAUAGCGUACUGUGGGACGAUAUCGCAUUCCUAUAGGAAUUUAGCAAAUGGUCUUGGACAUUGUUCACCUGAACCAUUAUAUUUGUACCACAGUCAGACCUGACGCUUUUGAUUCUUUUGAUGAUUUGGUUUUCAACUUCAACCUUAAAGAUUUUGAACAAAUCUAAGGACUGUGACUUUUCAUGGAGGAGAUAUAUGUAGUCAUAUCUACAAAAAUAGUCUAUGAACGUCAUAAAAUAUUUUUAACCAUUCCAAGCUACUAUAGGAAAUGGCCCACAAAUGUCUUUAUAAAUGAGUUUUAAGACGGCCAAAGUCCGUUGGCUUUAAAUAUCCUUUUAUUGGUUUGUUUCCCUUUGAUACAGUUAACACAUUUAUUAAAAUCUGUGAAAUCUAAGGGAUCAAAAAUUUCAUGUGGCACAAAUCUCUCUAUGGAAAUAUGACCCAAUCUCUUAUGUCAUAACACAGCUGAAUUCUCAUUGGUUAAUUUUCUCUUUAAACCUCGUGUACUUAAUUGCAAUGAUUCAUUAAAUGAAGCAAUCACAUCAAGCAUAUAAAGAUUACCACUUCCUGACAAAGAACCGGAAGUAACUAGUUUUGAAUCAUGAAACAAACUUAAUUUUUCGUUUCCAAAUGAACAAGAAUAAUCAUUUUUGCCCAAAACAAAAAUGAAAAUCAAGUUCUAUCUAAAAGACGGAACAAUAAAUGUUUCAUCAAGAUCCAAAUAAAAUUUGGUCUUUAAUAAUAAUCUAAAUUUUCUAAUUGCUUCAACUUCAAACUUCCUACCAUCACCCAGAUAGAUGCAUCUUUCACCAUCAUUGGGCUUUUGGCAAUUCAAGCAACCUUGCAUAGACACACUGAUGUGAGUGGUUGCACCAAAAUCUAUCCACCACGUGUAUCUAGGUACCAAAGUUAAAUUAACCUUAGAACAAACCCAACCAUGCCCUUUAAUUCCGUAAAAGAAACAAUUAGUAGCUUCUCGAUCAUCCAGUUUCUUUUGUUGUUUCUUUUUAGGUGUUGUAUCUGUAGCUUCCUUAUUCCCAUUCUUUUUUUUUAACCCUUAUCCUUGCCCUUAUUCUUUAUUGAAAUCAGAUUUGUCAAGAGUGUGCUCAUUUUUGCCUUUUCGUUCUUGACAAAUCAAUUUUCAAUUUCUAUAAGAAACUCUUUAAUCGUAGUUAUCCUUGCAGACAUAGAGUCCUGAAUGGUUCCAUAAUGACCUUACUCAUGAUCAUAAUACACGUGCGAUUUGAUCUCUCCUACCUUUCCAUAUCCCUUUUAUCAUUAAUGGUAUUUUCAUCCUUAAGAGGUGGGGGAGAAUCAACCCUUAACACAAGGUAAAAAUCCGUGACUGCCAGUACAAUUAAAAAGUUCGCUUCCCAUGAUUUGAAGUUGGAGCCAUUUAGCAUAGGAAUAAAAUUAAUGUUGGCAGUAAUAUUAGCAAUAGACAUAACUGAACGAAGAACAACAAACAAACCAAAUAGGCUUAUAUUAGUCUUAAAAAAAUUAAAUUUAAAUAAAGAUAUCUCAAGAUAUCGGGUACUUCAUUAAUAUUUCGUCUUUGGACAAAAUAUUAAUUCGUAAGUGAUAUCUUAAUGUAGUAAUCAAAUACUGAUAAUAAGAACAUGUCAAACAAUGAAUCUUUCUUUGGGCUUAUUUAUUGCUCACAUGUAAAACCGAAUAAUCAUUACAAUGUACAUGUAAUUCUAUUAAAUAUAGACCUUCCAGUGGGCCGAUCGAUAUUAACAUAAAUUAUUUGUACAAAACCAUUUAUAUUUAAAAAUAAAUUAAUUUUCAUAAGAGAGGUCACUUUGGUGACAUGUCGCUUCAAUUAAUUUAUCUCAAAAUGCAUAUAAACCUACCGAUAUUUGAAUUUAAAAUUGCACAAAAAAUUAUCUAAAAAAAUUUUUAAAAGUCAAAUUUUGGUCACCGGUCAAAGUCAACAUCAACGUUGACCUUUGACCAAUAAUCGUUUACUGGUACCCGAACCUCAUCCUGAACCAACCCACAAAUCAAACCAACUUUUUUUUUUUUCUCUCAAUGGGCUAAACGUAACAUUAAUUUUGAUAGGCUAAUAUCAACCAAACGUUAAUUUUAAUCCAUCAAGCCCAAUAUAUUAUGCCCAAAAUUUAGUUUCAAUAAGCCCAAACAAAUUUAGGGCUUAAAUGAGAAACUUCAUAACUAUUUUACUGUAAACGAAUGUUAUAAAACCUGAGGAACCUUCAUGAUAUAAACCAUAAAACCCUAAUUGCACUUUUGCAUUUUUCCUUCUCCUAGCUUAGGCGGCGGCCAUGGCAGCCGCUCUCACCUAAGCUGUCGCAGCCACCAGGCUGUGGCUUGCUUGAUGACGCGACCUGAUGAUCGCGCCAUUCCUAGCAAAAAAAAAGAACUUGACCACCAUCUCAUUUUUUUAUUUCCUUUUUUUAAUCUCUUUCUUCUUCCUUGAUGCGGCAGCCUUUUACCUUCUGCCGCUGCCGUCAACCACGACUCAACCUGACUAUCACCGCCCUGGCGUCGAUGCCGAUGGUGGCUGGGCUGCCGUCGGCUUUAAACCUUAAACCGAAUUUUUAAAAUUUGAAUUUUUUAAUUUUAAACUGUAAAUCUGAAUUUAAAAAAUUCUGGAAAAACAAUUGCAUAUUUGUUCUCAAAUUCAAUAAUUUUAAUAAUUCUAGUAUUAUUAAAUUCGAGAAUACCAAAGAUUUAAUAAAUAAUCAAAGAUAAAUUUGAUUCUCAAUGAUUCAAUAUAAAGAUGCUCUGAUACUAUUUGUUGGAAAUAAGAAAAACCUUUGGUAAAAAUCAUCACUUAUAGCCGAGGAACAUUCAUAUUAUAUUACUAAAAGUCAAUAACAAAAUUAUGCUGAAGUGUGCCUGAAUCCAUAAGGGUGAAUUGCUUUCUGGAGUUGUGUGGUUGGCCAUCCACAUCUACACGUUCUUCUAGAGAGUUCUUUAAUUCUCUCACGCUUUCUCUCUGAUGAUGGGAUAUCAAUAGAGAAUAGAUAGAUAUGUGUGACCUAGGGACUAUAACCACUUAUAUAAAUAAUCUUUUCCUAUUGUCACUGGAUAUUCCUAAAUCUGCCCAUCAUAGAAUUAGAAUAAUAUUAAGUUUUUACACAUUAAAGGCCCACACCCUAUUGAUACAUUAAAGCUCAUAAUACUGAAAAUCUAAAUAGAUUACUUUUAAUUGGGCUUGACAUUGAUAUUAACAUCCAUUUAUGCAGAAGGUCGAUGAUGACACCUAACAAAUUUGAGUGUUCUAUUUUCCACAAGACAUGAUAACAAGUCGCACUCAAUUGGGAUUGAGUUGCCAAACACUUGGCAUCUUCUUUAACUCCAAUUAAUUUUGGUCCAUUUUAUAUAUCCCGGAUAUUUCUCAAUGAAAAAUAAAAUAUAUAAAAAUAAAAUUAUGAAGAAUAAAUGUUUAUCCUCUCCAAAUCCCAUGGCUUUCAUAAACACUUCUUGUUUCAACAACAAUAAUAGAGAGAGCAUUUCUUUUAUGGAACUUAUUAAGAUAACAAAUCGAAAUUAAAUAGAGAAUGAAUGUCUUUAAGAUUGAACGAUUGUGUAUAUUGAAAGAGAAAUUACUGAUAGUAUUGAUCUAUAUCCAAUAAUUUUUUUUUUUUUUGAAGAAUCGCAGGAGACAACUUCAAUAGUGUUUUUCUAAUUUACAUCGUAUUUUUAUUAUUAUUGUUAUUACUCUUUUUUUUUUGCAUGCAUCUUACUUCAAUAAUUUCAUUUGUGUAGAAUAAAUAUCUUUAGGAUUAAGACUUAUUAUGUCCUUAAUUAGGUAUAUCUUUAAUUUCUUAUUAAUAAACUCUCUCUACAAUAGAAAAGCAUUUAAUUAGAAAAAAAAUUAGCCCACCCCAAAAAAAAGGUAGCUUGACUGUUGGGAAUUGAAAGGGGAAUCAGAAUGAUUAUUUGUGUUUACUUACUAAAAAUAUAAAAGAAUGAUAAUAGAUUUUGAAUGGGAUCAACAUAUUCGGGAAUGGAAAUUUCAUUUCCAUUUUCAUAGGGAAGUGAGAAUGAAAAUAGAUACUGGAAAUAGAAAAUGAAUUGACAUUGUUAACUUUAAAGAAAAUCAAAAUUUCUUUUUUUUUACCCUAUUUAAAUAUUAAAUAAUAAUUAUUAUUAUUACUAUAAUAUUAUUAUUAUUAUUAUUGCUACUACUACUACUUAUUGUACCUAAAAAAAGAUCGAUAUAUUAAUAUAGUGUUUACUUCCUGAAGUGGAUGUGAGGAGUUUAGAUUCCUCCACUCCAGUGUUUACCAAUUUUAAGGGAGAGUGGAAAUCUCACUCUAUGGGGCCUACCUUUUUUUGGAGUGGGGAGUGGAUUCUUUUUUACCCUUAUAUAUUUAAUAAAAUAAAAUAAAUAAUUUUUAAUAAUUUAAUAAAAUUAAAUUCAUAAUAUCUGCNNNNNNNNNNNNNNNNNNNNNNNNNNNNNNNNNNNNNNCAGUUAUUUGAAAAUAUAAUAUUAUUAUAUUUAUUUAAAAAUAAUAGUAUUAUACAUAUUUAAUAUUAGUAAUUAAUAAUAAUCAAUAUUUUAUUCUAAGAAAAUAUUAAUUUUGUAUUAUAUUAUUAAUAACAAUGUUUCAUUUGUGUUGCUCUUAAUAAUAAUUUCUUAUUUACAUAAUUAAAAUUAAAAUUAAAAUUACUAAAAAUUGUGAUUUAUGUAAUUAGGAAUAUUAAUAAUUAUUAUUAAUUUGCAAACAUAAUAAAAUAAAUAUUUUAUUUUUCAAAUAUAUUUUCUAAUAUUUUUGUACUUAAAAAGUACAAUUCUUUAAAUAAGGAUAAAACUGUAAUUUGAAAUUAUUUAUUCUCAAUUUAAGACUAUGUAAACAUAUAAAUUGGAUUCUGAUCUCAAUUCUAUGCUCCCAUCCUAAUGUAAGUAAACAACUUACUCUCGCUCCUACUCCACACUCUUAAUUCUAGGAUUUCAACUCCUCAGAAUUUCCGCUCCAAUCUAAAAUGUAAAUGCUAUCUAAAAUUAUGAAAAUAUGUAGUAGUGAAGUACGUUCUCAUUUUGGGAGUGUCUUGGUGGUUGUAAUAUAUUAAUUUGUUGUUUAAUUAAUUCGCCAUUCACGCAUGUCUAUGAGGAUGAGCACUUACCCUAUUGAUGUGUUUUAGGUUUAAGAUGAUUCUAACGAUCAAAAGUGCUAUGAAACAUAAAAAUAGUGAGUUUCCUUCUUUGGAUUUCAUAUAUGCAGUAACUGGAAUAAUUGGAAUUGAAAUGAUUAGCAUCAGUAUAAGUUGUUUAAUGGAGUUACAUGAACUGAAAUUGAAAUGAACUGUAUUUCUAUUAAUAUGUACUUACUUUGUCUUGUAAUUGAGAUUAAUUUUUUAAAUUAGUAAAUUGCCCUGAAUUAAAAUUAUGUCUUCAUUCCCUAAUAAAAUGAUAAGUAACACUAAUUUUGGAAUGAAAUAUAUGCACUUUUAUUAUAAUAGUAACCUUAAUAUUAUCAUUUUUUUAUAUAAAUUAGUUGUUAUAAAUGUAACCAACCAUACAAAUAACACAUAAAAUAAAGUACAUUAAUAAUACACGAAUGAGAUACAUAUAACAUGUAAAAUUAUAUAAUUGGAUAGUUGCAUGACCACGUCGAUGAUAAAAUCUAAUCAAGACUUGUUCCACUUUCUGACGCCAUAUUAAUAAAAGAAUAACCGUGUUGUAUACUUCGGGUAAUUAAUAUAAACACCGCAACUAUGGAUAGGAAAAAAUUGCAGCAUUAGGGCACGGGCAAAAGAUAGUGAUAUGCAGCAAGAAAUUAAAUUAGCCUCAGACUUUUUAAAUAACCGGGAAGACAAGCUGUCGAAUUAAUUUAUUUUAAAAUGUUCAAGUUUUAUUUAUUAUCAAUGAGGAAUUCUUUUAUUUUAUUUUAUUUUAUUUGGCUUUUUUUGCCUUCCAAUAUGCUUCAUAGACAUCGUCAUGAUUUUCCUCUAUGAAACGGCUGCUACGAAAUGUUGUUGGUAUAUCACACUUCUGCAUUUUCAUUUUUCUCCACGCAUGGCUAAAUUCUUUAACUCUCCCAAUACCCCUUCAAUGGCUUCCGUGAUCAUGUUACUUCUUGGACUGCUAAUGGCUACCUUACACACAAGAAGUAUGUACAUAUCUUUCUCGAGAAAAUGAUCAAAAUCUCCAUGUUCUUCAUCAAAAAUUAAUUAUUUCCUCCAUGCUGUAAACUUCAUCAAAACCAUACUUGACCGAAUUAUUGUUUUAAGUAGUUUGUUUUACUAACUACUCAGUUCGAAACCUAAAAGAGAUUUAUUAAUUUGACUUCUGUCCACCCCUCACAUUAAUUUUUUUUUUUUUUAAAAAAGAAAGACAUCAAAAUCAAUUUUGAGUUUUAGUGUUUUACCACAUCAUAAGUAGUUUGUAAAAUAGACAAAACAAGCUAAAAAUUAAUAGAAAUUUCUAAAAGACGGAUUUUGAACAUGAGGUGCCAAACGAUUAAUUUACUGAAAUCAACACCGUCUUUGAUCAUUUUCACCAUCUAUAUAUAUCUCUAUGAAUUAAUAUUAUUCAUAGACAUAUAAUGCAGGUGCUGAAAUAGGUGUUUGUUAUGGAAUGGUUGGUGACAACUUACCAUCAAAACCAGAUGUCAUAGCUCUUUACAACCAAAACAACAUCAGAAGAAUGAGACUUUAUGAUCCAAACAGAGAAGCACUCGAAGCUUUCCGUGGCUCCAACUUUGAAGUCAUGCCAGGCCUUCCUAACGAUGACCUUCGAAGAAUCUCUUCCACUCAAGCCGAAGCAAAUACCUGGGUCCAAGAGAACGUCCAAAAUUUUGUUAACAAUGUCAAGUUCAAAUGCAUUGCUGUAGGAAAUGAAGCAAAACCAGGAGACGACUUUGCGCAGUAUCUUGUACCCACCAUGAGAAACAUACAAAACGCCAUUGACGGAGCUAACCUUGGAAGCCAAAUCAAAGUUUCCACUGCAAUUGAAUUGGGAGUUCUUGAUGCAUUCUCUCCGCCGUCAGCUGGCUCCUUUAAGCAAUUCCUUCCUUAACGAAAACAAUUCUCGAUCCCCUCAUUACCUUCCUUAACAAAAACAAUUCCCCGUUGCUGGUGACUGUAAUAUAUCUCUUGAUUUUGCACUAUUUAGGGCAGAACAACCGGUUGUUUCUAACCCUCCGUUAAGUUACCUGAAUCUUUUUGAUGCCCAGUUUGAUGCUACUUAUGCUGCAUUGGAAAAGCCGGUGGGGGCUCGUUGGAUAUUGUGAUAUCGGAGAGUGGGUGGCCGGCGGCAGGUGGUGACGGAGCGUUAACGAACGUUGAUAAUGCAAAGACUUAUAAUAAUAACUUGAUACAGCAUGUGAAGCAAGGGUCACCAAAGAAGCCAAGGCCUAUUGAGACUUACAUUUUUGCUAUAUUUGAUGAGAAUGGAUAAAAAGGAAGAUGAGAUUAAGAGGCAUUGGGGACUUUUUGCUCCAGAUAAGCAGCCUAAAUACCAAGUUAAUUUUAAUUAAUUAACCAAAUCAGAGUAGCUUCAUGCGGCAGCAGAUUUGAAGUUAAAUUUCUAAUGCAAUAAAUUAUUGCACAAUAUGUAUUAGUAAUCAAGAGUUUGCAUCAUUACCUUGCAUCGGUGCACGAGGCCAAAUUUCAUUAUCAAUAAUGUCAUGGUUACGGUAUUUAAUUAUAUAUCACUGCCUCUUUCAAUUUUUGAAUAGCUUAAUUAACAUGCAAUGUAAUUUUUCCUUGGCCAUUGUGCAAUGUAAAAAUGCCCCAACAAUACCAAAUUAAUUUGAACUAGUAAGAACCCAACAAUGGAUUAAGCAAAAUUAAAGGGCACUUCCUUUUAAAUAUUUUAUGUAUGAAUCAAAACCAUGCACAGAUUUGAAUCUCAAACAUCCUGUAGCAGUCCAAGUCUCCAAGAGUCGAUAUUAAUUAGCUAGGAAGAAAAAAAGAACAGAGCAAUCCCACUUAGUUUAAUAUAUAAAUAAAUAAAGUUAACUAAAAAAGAUGGCUACAAAUUUUUUCCCUAGGUAUUGAACGCACAAAGACACGUGGCAGUAUCGGGAGCCCUUCAAAAAGUCAAAGUCAACGAAAUAAACGUGUCCAUAUGAGCUCAGUCAAUGAAAAAUUUUUAGAAUACUUCGUAUGUAUUACAUACUAAUUGAUGCAUGCAUGACGUGUAUAGUUGAAUUUAAUACAAUUACCACUUGCAUGAUAGUUUUUUAAAAUAACUACACACAUAUCAUGACAUUAUAUGUUUGUUGUAUGACUGAUAUGGUACCUCAAAUGUAUUCUAAAAUUUCUCCUGUCAAUAUGUAGUCCACGAAAGUUAACAUGGAGCUAUGAUCCGUUUUGAAAAGGCGCCGGAUCCGGGUUUGCCAAUUUCCCAACUCCCAAGCACAAAAAAGCUACCGGGCAAUUACAAAGUGAGCUCGUUUAACCAUUCAAUCCACUAUGGCCAAUGGGCCGUACCGGCACCAACUAUCGGCCCACAAGGGCUCGUGGGCCGGCACGGCACGGCCCACUAAAUUGGUGGGCCGUGCCGUGCCUACAUUUUUUUCAAUUGAGCCCGGCGGCCGUGCCCAAAAAAAGCCCACCAACAUUUUUUUUUUUAGCGUGCUUUAUUCAAGCCCACGUGUCUGACGUGUUUUUUUAAGCCCACCAACAUAAUAAUAAUAAUAAUAAUAAUAAUAAUAUUCACAAUCAUAAUCAUAUUAAUUUUUAUUAAGAGAGCAAUUAACAUUUUAUUAUUAGUUUAUCAAUUUUGGCCCACGUGUUAUUAAUGGUUCACGGGCCGCGUGCUAGCCCACUAAUGAACCGUGCUUAUUACGUGCUUUUUCGUGUGCCGUGCUUUGGCCAAUCUCUAAUCGUGCCGUGAUUUAAGGCCCGCGUGCCUAAAAUUCUAGGCCCGGCACGGCCCACGUGCGUGCCGUGCCUCGUGCCUCACCGAAACGUGCUCGUGCCGUGCAGUACGUGCCCGUGCCGUGCCACGUGCCGCCCGGCCCAUUGGCCACCUUUACAUUCAAUCACCAUGCGGUCUGAAAAGUCAACGAGCUUAAAUCAUAACAACGUACGUUGGACUGCACUGAAUUGAAAUAUCUCUUUAAUCUAUUAAAGGUCACGUCCAAUUUAAACCCGAUCACAGGUCACAUCCCACCCAAAUUGGCUUAGCACUGGUUUGGAAUCGGCCUGAUUUGCCACUUGUUGAAACUUUUAACACCCUUCUAAAGUCCUUAUAACACCCCAUUCCAAAUUUAUUUUUUAAAAAAACCUAGCUUUAAAUGUUUAAAGAAUAAUAAUAUAGCCGCAAACUAUUGUACAAAUUUAUUUUAUACAAAUUGAUGUGGCAUGAUAAAAUUAAUUGAAUUAAAUAUCUUUUGGCUCACAUAAUUUAUUUCUAUUAUUUUAUACUUUUAUUCAAUUAAUGAAUUAAUGCCAUAUCAGUUUGUAUAAGAUAAGUUUGUACAAGAGUUUAUGGUUGUAUCAUCACUCAUGUUUAAAACCCAAAAUUAAAACCAACCAUCAUGCUGUACUAAAAAAAAAAAAAUCAACCAUCAUGAUAUAAAAAUUCACCCUAAUAAAAAUAUUUCUUUUACCCUUUCAUAGUUACAUAGUCUUUAAUGUUUCUCAUAUUAUAUAAUAUAAAGGUAGAGUUAUUUUCACUCUAAAAAUUAGUCUGAAUAUUUUAUUAUUUUGAACACUCAUCUACAUAUUUUUUUUAAAUAAUUUUAUUUUUUACACUAUGUCAAACCUUUUAAACUAAUUAUCAUUUAUUUACUAUAUACACCUAUAAAAAAUACUCAAUUCACUAAAAGAAAAAAAAAAUAAGAAGAAGAAGACAUCUUCAAUUCUUUUUGUAGAAAAUAUUUCAUGUACUUAAUCAAAUCCAUCAAGUUCGAAAAACAAAACUCAUUUUCUUGAACAAGCAAAGAAGAAAUAAUUUAAAUUUCAAACUUAUUAUUUAUCUAACCAUGACACAGCUUCAAUUUUAAAAAUUAGCCGUGAAAUCAAGCUGCAAAUUAAGUGAAGUAGAAGCUCUAUGUGAAAGUGCCUUAAAAAUAUUACUUAAAUAGAAGAAGCAUAAAUGCAUGAGAUGAAACCAAUUAUAGGAAGAAAUCAUUAAAGUUAACGAAUCAUCACCAGAUUUUGCCAACGUAACAGCAGAUUGCUAGAUGUCAUGAAGCUGAAAAUUGAUUGGAGUAAUUAAUAAAAGUUUGUUUGCUAAAUCAAAAUGGUUCGUAAUAGCUUCUUUGCAAAUAUUUGUAAAAGUUUUAGGGUAAAAGGUAGAUUAUUGUUUAUAUAUUCAAAGAUCGAGUUUACUAAUUAUAUGAGCGUUUAAAGUAAUUAUGUUUGAUUUACUUAAAGUAGAUUAAUAAUAAAUCAUAUCAUAAGUAUUUUUAUAUUGAAUUAUUUUAUUAAAAUAAGAGUGUUCAAAAUCAAUUUUAGAGUGUAAAGCAUCCUGCUCAUUGUACAGUUAAGAGCAAUAAUACCUAUAAAAAAAAAAUAGAAAACUAGUUGGUAUUAUAGUUUUUUCUUUUAUUGGGACCUCACAAGUGAGAGUAAAUAAAAUUAAAGAAAAAAUGAUAUUACAAUCAAGGUGGACACCAAAACCUUAUUCAAAAAUAAAAUAUGAAAAAUAGUGACCGCAGAAAAAUAAACUUUAAGUUGGAGUUUUUCCAACGUAGUUAGAAUUUAAUUGUAUUUAUCUUCAUACAUAGUCUUUCGAUAUACUUUACUUAAUCUGGCUGGUUUGGAAGCGAGGAAUCGAUGAUUCAAAUUUUGAAGUGAUGGAAUCUCAAAAGAAUAAUGAUAUUUACACAUGAUACUGCCCAUAAAAUUGCACAGAAUCAUUAAAAAUAACGAAUGACAGAUUCAUUCACUUUAUAAAUUUUAUUUUUAUAUACAGGUAUCCUCAUUUUAUCUGCGAUAUAUAAUUUUGUGAGAGAAUGUCAAGUACAAAUAUCAUUUUCCAUUUCAGAAACAAAAUUUGGGGCAGUGGAGAUCAAAUUAAUCUAGCGUCGUUGGCGCUGACACUAUAUAUAUAGUGCUAGAUAUAAUUUAGGGCAUUGUCCAUCAUUUCAACAACUUAACGCUACAGCCCAUUUAAUUUAUUUAUGUUUAUACCCGACCGGUGUAUGAAUUGUUUUACUAGUGCACCUGAAGCAUCCGCAUAGCAGCAGUGCCAGCCAUUCACAAUUAUUAUAAUGUACUUAACUGCAAUCAUUGGCUAAUCAGUGAGCCAUUGGACCCGCGCAAGCUCCCACGUUAUGUUGCUGUAGUAGUGGCCCAUGUGCCACAAUAUUGUAUGGGUUAUAAUUGAAAUUUAAAUAAUAAAAUAAAUAACGGACUGAAAUUUUAUUGAUCAAUUGAAAAAAUUUAAAUGUCCAUUUCGAUAGAAAGUGAGAAUAAAAUUUUUAUUGAAAUUGAUUCUCUCUCCACUGUAUAUCAAGUUAAUUUUUUAUUUAUUAGAAAAGUGAGUCAUUUUAAAAGAAUUAAGAGAAAGAAAUCAAUGUUGUUAAAUAUUUAAUUAUUAUGGUGAAACUUGAUAAAAAUUUUGUUAUGGAUCAAAGUAUGUUUUCUUUCAAUUAUAAUGAUGUGAAAAUCAUAAUUUAAGAAUUAAAGUUUAUGUAAAUUAAGAUUUUCUUGCUCAUGAAAAUUAUAAAAAAGAAGAAAAGAAAAAGAACAAGACAUCCUUUUUGUAGAAAAUAUUUUAUGUACUUAAUCAAAUCCAUCAAGUUCGAAAAAAGAAACUCAUUUUCUUGAACAAACAAAGAAGAAAAUUUCAAACUUAUUAUUUAUCUAGCCCUGACACAGCUUCAAUUUUAGAAACUAGUCGUGAAAUCAAGCUGCAAGUUAAGUGAAGUAGAAGCUCUAUGUGAAAGUGCCAUAAAAAUAUUACUUAAAUAGAAGAAGCAUAGGAAGAAAUCAUUAAAGUUAACGAUUCAGCACCCGAUUUGGCCAACGUAAUAGCAGAUUGCUAGAUGUCAUUAAGCUGAAAAUUGAUUGGAGUAAUUAAUAAAAGUUUAUUUACUGAAUCAAAAGGGUACGUAAUAUCUUGUUUGCAAAUAUUUGUAAAAGUUUUAGGGUUUAAGAUAGAAGAUUGUUUAUAUAUUCAAAGAUCGAAUUUACUAAUUAUAUGAGCGUUUAAAAUAAUUAUGUUUUAUUUACUUAAAGUAGACUAGUAAUAAAUCAUAUCAUGAGUAUUUUUGUAUUAAAUAAUUUUAUUAAAAAAUAAUUUUUUAAAAGAAAUUAACCAUGGCAAAUUACGGAAAACUUUAUUUAUAUAAAAAGCAAAAAAAAAGCCAAUACAAAUCAGGUGGACGAAAUAAACCUUACCUCCAAAAGAAUGCCCGGUGGUAAAAUAAAAAAGAUUCAAGGCUCUGUGAAAGAGGCAACCAAAAAAGAUAAAUGAGAACCGAAAGCAAACAAGAAAAAAGCCUAUAAAAUCUAUAGUUGGGGGAAACCAUUAGCAUAUUUAUUAAUAAAGCUUCCAAUCUCCGAUAGCGGUGAGCUCCACGAGCUAAAUUACGACAAACCGACAACUAAAUUAGCCAAAGUGAUUGCUACAUUAUUGUUCUAUCUGUAGAUGAAGGAAAAAUAAAAAUUCAUACCCUACUGUCAUGCAAAAAGCUUACGACAAUUGUAUCAUCGUUUGCAAUGAGUCCAACGUUUUAAUAGUUUCUUUUUCUAAAUAACAUUAUUUCAAUAAUUUAAUGCUACAUCAAAAUUAAUUUAUGUUCAUACUCGACUACUGUAUGAAUUAUUUUAUAUUUAAUUUUUAUAAAAUUGAUGCAACGUAGCAAACGAUAAUACUAUACUUAGUUUGAAUACCAACUGAUGCAGUAUUUCUUAAUUGGCUCAAACGAUGGUCAUAAAGUCUAUCCCACGUAAUAAAGUACGAAGCGAGGGAAACUUUAUUUGCAUAAAAAAACAAAGCCAACACAAGUCAAGGGACGUAAUAAAGUAACUUACUCAUCUACAUUCGAAAAGAAUCAACAAAAAGAUAGAUGAAAGCCAAUAGUAAAAAUGAAUAAAAUCAGUGAGAUAUUUAGAAAUAAGAUUUUGAAUCUCCAUCGGUGGUGAGUUCUACCAGCUAAAUGAUGACAACCAACACCGAAAUCAGCCAAAACGUCUGCCAGAUAGACAAUAUAGAAAUGCGAAUGCUCAAGUUAAAGACCAAUUUAUACAAGAAGGCUCUGAGGAUUUUUUUCCCCCAUAUUUUGCAAAACUAUGAUGGCCAUGAUAUUUACCAUAUUUUCAUGAAAUAAUGGCAAAGAUCUUGGCUCAUAAUUGACUUAAUUGAAAAGCUUCAAAAUCAUAUCUCAAGGAUCCUUAUGUGAUCCUCCUAGUUUUUUCAAAUGCACCUGAAGCAUCGGCAUGGCAGUAGUGGCCACCCAUUCACAAUUAUUAUCAUGUACAUAACUACAAUUAUUGCUUAAUCAGUCAGCCAUCGGUCCCAUGCAAGCUCUCACGUUAUUUACGUAAUUGAACUAUAGACCUUAAUCCGUCUUCUACCACUCAACAAUCAAGCAUCAGCCGUCGAUCCCUCAUCCACUAACCCCGUUGCCACCGAUGGCUACUUGAAUUUAUAUGUAUUUUCAAAUUAUAAACAAUGGCCAAUCAUAUAUUAUAUAGCUUCAUGUCGGCUACCCGUGUAUAUAUUGUGUUAUACCACACCGGAAGCAACCACAAUCAAAAGACUAGCAAACGCUCCUUAAUUACUUGUGCAGAAGCUAGCAGAGAUAUUUUCUGAUUUGAAGAACAUGGAGACUGUUUAUGCAGGUAAUUCAUCAGGCCAUAUUAAGUUGAAUUCCAUUUAUAAUUCUUACAUUAAUAUAUGCCGUUACGAACAGGUUUUCUGAUUUGAAAUUUUCAGCCAAUAAGGAAUGGUUGGAGGCUAGCAUCGCUCCAUUUCAUGGCUGUAUGAUUGAUGAUGGGAUUGGAAAUAACAAUCUUGAUCUCCUUGUAGCCCCUCAAUAUGGAAGAAACCCUGAUGAAUCUGGUUAAGUGCAGUGUUAAAGUAAAAGGAUGUCAUGGGCACCAUAGCCAGUAAAUUGUGUGAGUGCAUUUCGGUUUGCUUCAUUCCGAAUAAUAAGAUCUCUUAGAAUAUAUAAGAGAUUUUCUUGUUCACAUCUAUGAACUUUGUUUUCUUUGAACUAAAUAAAUAAAACUGCUGUGUGUCAGUUUGUUAUUCAAAUUAAUCAGGAUUAUGCUCUCUCUUCUUAAAUACCUUUUGCUACAAACUGCAUUUACUAAUUUAAAUAGUGUUAGUGAUUCCUCCAAUGAUGCAGUUUCUUCACUCUCAAUCAAUAAAAAAAAUGAGAUUGGUACUAACCUUGCUUCCAGUUUCAACUGGCGGUGAGCUCCAUCAGCUAAAUUGUGACAAUUGAUACUAAAAUCAGCCAAAGUGACUACUACAUUACUGUUCUCUCGGUAUGUGAGGGAAAAAAAAUUAAAAACUCAUUAAAAAGUUAUACCCUACUAUCGUGCAAAACAAUUAUGACAAUUGUAUCACUGACUGCAAGGAGUCCAUCAUUUCAAUAAUUUCUUUUUCUGAAAAAUGCCAUUUCUAUAAUUUAAUGCUACAGCCAAAUAAUUUAUGUUUAUCCUUGAUUGGUACAUGAAUUAUUUUAUUGGUGGGAUUAUUUGUAUUUGAAAAAUUAUUUGAAAAAUUCAAUUUUUUUUAAAAAGUUAAAUUCUUUGAAUUGCUUAAGAUUGAUUACAGCGAGACUACAAGUGAUAGAGAACAAAUCUCUUUUUACCAAGAAUCCUAACUCUCAGUAGUAGCCACUAAACUCAAUCGAAAAGAAUGCUCCGUGAUCAGCCUCUCCUUUGUGUUUUAUACAACUCCUGGUCAUAACAAAUUUACCACAUACUGGCACACAAUAAGCUGACUCACCAUGCCACAUCAUCAGUAACUAAAUAGAAUGUAACUAACUUUCAGCUUCACAAAUUUCCACCUUAGUUCAUUCUGAAACAGCUUCACCUACCUCUUCAGCAACUACUAACUCGGUUUACAAGCUAUCAACACCAAUCAAGUUCAGAGAGUUUGUAAACUUGACUGCAUGGACUGCUUUAGUUAAAAUAUAUGCUGGAUUAGUCUGAGUAGGAACCUUGACAACAUUAACUACAUCAUUUGUAAUUUCAUCCCUGACAAAAUGCAACCUAACAUCAAUGUGUUUUGUCCUUUCAUGAUAUUUAGGAUUCUUACUGAGCUGAAUUGCACUGGAGCUGUCACAACCAAUGCAAACCGAAUCCUGCUUCAACCCAAACUCAGAAACUAAUCCACUUAGCCACUUUGCCUCUUUUACUGCUUCUGUAAAUGCAAUGUACUCAGCCUCAGUUGUGGAUAAAGUAACCACCGACUGAAGAGAGAUGUUUUCCAACUCACUGCCCCUCCAUUUAAAAUGAAAACAUAUCAUGUAAUGGACAUUCUCUUGUCCAGAUACCUUAACAACCACUUAACAACAUUCUAAUGUUCCCUUCCUGAAUUCCCCAUAAACCUACUAACAACCAUCAUGAUCUACAUCAGGUCUUGUACAAACCAUAGAAUACAUAAUGCUACCAACUGCACUUGAAUAGGGCACUGUCUUCAUAUACUCAAGGUCUUGAUCCUCUUCUGGUUCCUGAAGCUUUGACAAUCUGAAGUGUGCUGACAGAGGUACUGACACAGGCUUUGCACCACUCAUCUCAAAUCUGCUAAGGACCCUUUUAACAUACACAGCUUGAGUAAGAAACAAGGUUCUUGAAUUUCUGUCCUUCACAAUUUGCAUUCCCAGAAUUCUUGUAGCAGUCCCCAAAUCUUUCAUUUCAAAUGCAGAAUUCAACUCCAUUUUUAGCCUUUCAAUCUCCUCUCUCCUUUUGCAUGUAAUAAGCAUGUCAUCAACAUAAAGAAGGAGGUAAAUACCAUCUCCAGAAGAUAAAGUUUUAAAAUACAGACGGCUAUCAUAUUGGCUUCUGCAAUAUCCAUGGCUGAUCAUGAACUCAUCGAACCUCAAAUACCACUGCCUUGGAGACUAUUUCAGCCCAUACAAGCUCCUCUUCAACAAGCAUACCAUAUCUUGAGUCCCUUCUUCAAUGAACCCCUCAGGCUGAUCCAUAAGAAUUUCUUCUUCAAGACUCCCAUGUAAGAAGGCAGUCUUUACAUCCAUUUGAUCCAAUUCCAGGUCUUUGAAUGCUGUUAUUGCUAGUAGAACUCUUAUGGAACUAUAUUUGACAACAGGGGAGAAUACCUCAUUAAAGUUCACUCCAUGCUUUUGUGUGAACCCCUUUACUACAAGUCUUGCCUUAUACCUAGAGGCUCACCAUCAGCAGUCCCUUCUUUAAUUUUAUAGAUCCAUUUGCAUCUUGAGGUUUUAUCUUGAGGCUUAUCAUCAACCUCAAGAUAAAAGGCUCACUAUCAGCCUUUUAUCUUGAGAUUUCUUGACCAAAAUCCAUGUGUUAUUCUUCUUUAGUGAGAUGAUUUCUUCAUUCAUGGCAUCCAGCCAUUUUGCUCUAUUUUACUGCUCGUAGCUUGUUUGUAGUUUAUAGGCUCUUCACCAAUAACUUCCUCAAUUACUGCCACAACAUAAGAGAGCAUAUCAACUAUGCCAUACCUUUUGGGUAACUUAAUGACUCUCCUUUCCUUGUCUCUUGUAAGCUGAUAAUCAUGUGUUUGAGAAGUGAUGUGUGUUUUCUGAUAAGACUUGGAAUCCCUUUCUGCAGCUUUUUUAUCUUCACUUGACUCCACCUCAAAGUUGUAUUCCUUAUCCUCAUUUGAAUCAUGUGUAAUGAGCUCUGUUUCUACCCUCUGAUGCUGCAUAGACUCUUCAUCAAACACAACAUCUCAGCUAAUAAGAGUUCUUGUAGGUUUGCCAUCUAUGCACCAGAGCUUAUAUCCUUUGACACCCUCUGGAUAUCCUAUGAAGUAACCCUUAACAGCUUUUGGCUCUAACUUUCCCUGGUUUAUGUGAGCAUAAAUAAGGCAGCCAAAAACCCUGAGGUUGCUGAGAUCGGGAGGCUUUCCUGACCAAACUCCCUGAGGAGUCUUGAAAUGCAAGGCUGCUGAAGGGCUCUUAUUGACCAAGUAAGUUGCAGUGGUAACAACUUCUGCCCAGAAGUGUUUUGAAAGGUUUGCAUUAAACAACAUGCACCUUACCUUUUCAACUAAUGUCCUAUUCAUCCUUUCGGCUAACCCAUUUUGCUGAGGUGUGUGUGUUGGGAAAAUAUGCUCUUUAAAAGCAUAUGUGUUUAUUUAAUUGUAAUAAACAAUUUUUCUGAUUAAUAAAAUAAAUGAGAUAUUUUAUUCAAAUAUCUUAAUUGCAUUAAUAUUUGUAUUAAAUUCCAUUUAAUCAUAUUAUAUGUAUUUAUGUGAUCACCAUGUGGAUUCAUAGAAGACAUAAAUACAAGUUAUCUUAUGAUUAAAUAAAUUUAGUUCGCAGUUGAUAAAUAAAGUUGGGCACUUUAUUUAGGUAUAGACUGUAAUAAAUUCAUUAAAUGAUUUGUAUUAAUCAUGUAUGAAUUUAUUGAUGCAGUACGACUACAUUGAACAAUAUCACAUAUGAGAUUUAAUUAACUUUGUAAUAACUGUCAGACUUAUUAAAUCUCAUAGGCGUUGAUUUUACUGUAAUCUUAAUCUUGAGUUAAUUAUGAUUUCAUGAUUGUAAUUGUUAUUCCAUUUGAGUUACCAAUGGGCACGACACAUACUACAGCAGAUUGUGGUUAGGAGUUUUAAAAGUAAUUUUUAAAAACUAAAAUCUGGUUUUAGUAUUUUGUAAUUUUUUUUCCUAAGUCACUUUGACAAAAUCAUAUCAUUUUAUAGUAAUUUUAAAAACUAAACUCCAAUUUUGGUGCAGUUUUUGCACUUUUACUUAUAUAUCCUCAUAUUUCUUAUACAAACCUGAAAUUACCUCAUUUUCAUGUGGUUUCAAGGUAGAUAAGGAUAAACUUGAAAGCUGUUGUCCUCUCUUUUCCUUUUCAUUAAGACAAAAAAUCAAACUUGUAACUCAAAAAAUCAAAUAUAUCUCUCCCUUUUUUUUAAAUAUUUUUUUAUCUAAGAGGAUCAUUGAUUUAAUUUCACCUCAUUCUCCCCAAUGAAAUUUGAAGAAGGACCUCGACUCUUAUCACUUGAGCUAAGCCUUCAUCUAAAAAAGGGUUUAAAAUUUUAAUUAAUUUAUUUCAGACGAUAGAAUUUAAUUAAUAUGUUUCAGAUGAUAUUAAAAUUUAAUUAAAAUUCUAUUAUUAUUCUUUUGGGUUCUUUUUUGAAUGUUAACAUAAGGUCCACUCUUAGAAAUUCUGAAUCCCUAAAGCCUUCAUAGCAUCUUCAGGCCUAACCCGCAGUGUUUAAAAUGUAAAAUGCCAUAUGGCCAACAAUUGGGCCGAGCUAAAUCCCACUGGAAUGGCAAAAGGCCAAUGAAAUGGCAAAGUGCUACAUUUUAGCUGCUGUACGGCCAAGGCGGAUGUACGGUACAGCAGAAAAUUUAAAAACCUAAUUUUUCUCAUUUUGCCUUGCAGUUUUGUGCCUGACUAUCCCCUUCUUGAUGCAGAGUUGAUCAAAAUCAUUGCAGCAAUACUUGAGCCCAUUAUCUGUUCUUAGCCUCUCCACCCUCCUCUUUGUUUGAUUUUCCAUUAAAGUCAGUCAUUUUUUAAACUUUUCAAAAGCCUCACUCUUCUGCUUCAGUAAUAUACCCAGACUUUCCUUAAAAAGUCAUCAAUAAAAGUAAUGAAGUAUUUGGCUUCUCCAUGAGAAAGAACCUGAGAGGGCCCCUACAGGUCUGAAUGGAUAUAAUCCAUUGUAUUUUUAGUUUCUUGUUUUCCUAGAUUAAACUUUUGUCUAGUUGCUUUACCAAACACACACUUUUCACAGAAUUCAAGUGCUGAAAUUUGGUCAGUUCCUAGUAAUCCUUGUUUACUCAACUCUUUUAAUCAUUUCUCACUCAUGUGUGCUAGUCUCAUGUGCCAAAGCCUGGUUUUAUCAUUACUUACAUUGGUAAUAACAUCAGGUAACACAACUGAGCCAUUAAGCAUAUACAAUCCAUUUCUCCUACUAUAUUUCAUUAUGACUGUACCACCUUUAAGGAUCUGAAGUUACCAUUUUCUGCCCUUAUACAGCAGCCCAAUUGGUCUAUCAUUCCUAAAGAUAUGAGGUUUCUUUUAAGCUCUGGAACAUAUCUUACUUGUUCCAAGCUUCUGAUUGUACCAUCAUACAUUUUAAUAAUAACAGACCCUAUUCCAGCAACUUUAUAGGCUAGAUUAUUCCCAAGCAAAACUUUACCACCAUCAAACAUUUUCAAAAGUCACAAAGAAAUCUUUAUGUGGGCACAUAUGGAAAGAACACCCUGAGUCAAGUAUCCACUCACCAGAAGAUUUCUUAUCUGUUGCAAUAAGAACAUCCGCAUCUUCUGAUUCUCCUUCAUCUACAGAUACAACAUCAGCUUUCCCACUUGAUUCUUUCUGUAACUUUUCAAGCUUCUUUUUUUCAAAACAAUCUUUUAUAUAAUGCCCUUCCUUUUGACAUAAGUAGCAUUUCCUUUUCUUCUUCUUCUUGUCAGUCUUUUCUUUCUGAUUUUUGUUCUUCUUGUCUUUGUUCACCUUUUUCUCUGUCUUUGCUUUGGCAACUAAUCCAUCCCUAGCACUAUGAUCCUUGCCAUCUGCUCUCAUUUUCAAGUCUUUUGAUUCAAGAGCAUUCUUGACAUCUUUCAAGGUGAGAGUUUGUCUUCCACAGAGCAAAGUGUCCACGAAAUGUUCAUAGGUGUCUGGUAAUGAGCUUAACAGGAUAAGAGCCAUAUCUUCAUCAUCAAGUAUGAUGAUGACAUUUUCAAAAUCGAGUAUCAGUUUAUUUAACUCAUCAAGAUGAUCCUUCAUGAUUGUCCCCUCCUUUAUUGAAAAUGUGUAGAGCUUCCUUUUUAUGUAUAAUCUUUUAGCCAUAGAUUUCUUUAAGAAAAUUUCUUCCAACUUCGCCCACAACCCAGAGGCAGUCUUCUCUUUGGCUACUUCUCUCAACACCUCAUCAAAUAGGUGGAGUAUAAUUGUGCUGUGAGCUUUGUUGUUUAUGGUCCUCAAGUCUCCAUCUGAACCUGACGAACCUUCCCCCUUUUCUUUCUUGGACUUUGAUUCUUCAUCAUCAUUGAGGGCACUAUCUAAGCCCUGUUGAAUCAAGAUGGCUCUCAUUUUCAGACUCCAUAAGUAGAAAUCGUUUUCACCAUUAAACUUUUCAAGAUCAAACCUAGUGGCUGCCAUUCUUGAAGAUCAAGAACAGAGAGCUUAUCAGCUCUAAUACUAGUUUGUUAAGAAAAAGAUGAACAGAGAUAAACCAAGAUUUGGCCAAACAAAAACAAGAACAGAGAUAAACCAAACUCCAAAAAGAAAAGCUUUAUUGCUUAAGAUUGAUUACAACGAGACUACAAGUGACAAAGAACAAAUCUCUUUUAACCAAGAAUCCUAACUCUCAGUAUUAGCCACUAAACUCAAUCGAAAAGAAUGCCCCGUGAUCAGCCUCUCCUCAGUGUUUUAUACAACUCCUAGUCAUAAUGAAUUUACCACAUGCUGCCCACAAUAAGUUGAUUCACCGUGCCACCUCAUCAGUAACUAAACAGAAUGUAACUAACUUUCGGCUUCACAAGAACAAAAAAAAAAUUUGUCUAAUUAACUUUUGGUUCAUGAUAAUAGAGUAUUGAUGAAAAAUUUGUUGAAGUGAGUAUCCUCUAAUAGCCACGCUGAUUAAUUAAGAUGCAGGAAAAAUUACUCAUCGUCUAUUAUUGAAUAAAUUUUAAUUCUUAUUUCAUAAUUUAUUUUUUAAUUUUGACCAAUUGUUAGUUGGUUGUCGAGAAAGAAUAUAAAUGUAAAGUGAAAAGAGAUUUAAUUUAGGAUAAUUUUGUUAUUUCUAAGAAAGUAUGUUGAGUAAAAACUUAUUUUUAGAAUUUUCAAUAGGUCUCUUCAGUGAAACAGUAUUCUAAGUGUGAAAACUAUAGGCAAACGAUAUCGAAAAUGUAAAUCCACUCUCGUAUUAUUCAAGUGGCGAGCUCAAAGACCAAGUUAUACAAGAAAGUUGAUAACGUAAAAGGAACGUAUCAAUCACCAUGAUUUGAGGUUUUUUCCUCAUAUUUGCAAUAUCAUGUCAAUGGCCGUGAUAUUUACCAUAUUUACAUGAAAUAAUGGCAAAGGUGGCUCAUAAUUGAUUUAAUUGAGAAGCUUUAAGAUCAUAUCUCAAGAAUCCUAAUGUGAUCCUCCUUAUUUUAUUAAUGCACCUGAAGCAUCUGCAUGGCAAUAGUGGGCACCCAUUCACAAUUAUUAUUCGGAACUUCACUGCAUUAUUGGUUAAUCAGUGAUCCAUUGGACCUCUGCGUAAUUGAACGAUAGCUGUUAAUCCGUCUUUUACCAAUCUACAAUUACAUAUCGGUGGGCGGAACCAACAUUUUAGUUCGUAAUUGCCGUGAUAUUUUACAAGUUACGAGUUUUCUUGAAAAUUUAAUUUAAGGCCACCGAAAUGUAUCACAAAUGACUAGUUUCCUUAAUUUUUUUUUCCUUAUAUUUCAUAAAUUUUCAAAAAGUUCGCAACCAUCAACUUGUACAUCGUUCCGACUAUGAUCAUCAACUUACCCGUUGUCCCCCAGAGCUACUUGAAUUUAUAUGUAUUUUUAUAUCAUAAAUUAUUUCCAGUGACAUGUUAUGUGUUUCAUGUCGGCUUCUACUGUCUAUAUAUUAUGUUGUAUAUCACAGGUAUUUCAUUGGGACAAGUUAAGUUUUGAAUUCCUUUUAUAAUUCAUAUAUAAAUACAUGCAUUUAUGAAUAAGGAUUUGAAAUUUUUAAUGCUCGGAGAUUAGCAUUACUCCUUUAUUUCAUGGUUGUAUAAUUGAUGAUGGGGAGGCAAAUGAGAAUCUUGAGAGAAAUCGUGACGAGUCUGGUUAAGUGGAGUGCUAUUCUUUUGUGUUAUAUUUUAUUAUAUAAAAGGAUACAAUGAGUCGUAUUCCAUGUCAAUUGUGUGAGUGCAUGUCGGUUUACUUCAAUUAUAUAUAUAAGAUAUUUUCUUGUUCACAUCUAUGUAUGUUAUUUUCCUUAAACUAAAUAAUUAAUACCCAGAUGGGUAAAUGAUCCAAUUACCACCCUUCUUUUUUUUUUUGAGGAGUUCAAAAAUACUAUGAUGGCUCCGUUGCUUUAUAUAUUUAUUUCUUUUGUGAUUUAGCAAUCCCAAAGUUUCUUUUUUUUUUUCAAAUCAAAAUAAAAAAAUAAAAAAAUAAAAAAUAAUCUUUUUUUUUUUUUCGUACUCUUUCAUACCAUAAAUCUUGUUAAUUGUUAAGAACCUUCUGGCGUGAAAAAGGUGUGUGGCGCUGCAAUAGGCCUCCGAUAGGUAAGAUAAACUCGGAAUAUCCCUUCUUUAUCUCAUACUACUGCUUCGAUACAUAAUCAAAUAUUUUGAAAAAAAAAACACUGACAAUUUUCAUAUCGAAUUCAAAGUGCCAUGCUAUUAUUACAUAAUAUUAAGAAUUCAUAUGGCGAAGGCAUAGUCUUCUUUUUUCUCUCUCAAAUUAUUGUGAGUCACUAAAUAUCAGUUUGUUGUUUAAGUUACUCAUGAUUAUGCUCAAUCUUCUUGAAUACUUUUUUGAAACAAACCUCAUAUGUUGGUUUGUUAAUUAAAUACUAUUAGUUAAUCCUCUUCAGUUAUUUGUGGUUUCUUCACACUCAAUCUUUAAGGAUAAAAAAAGAGAGAUUAAGGCUCCUCUUGAGAUUAAGGUUGAAAUGCUAUAAGCGAUUUAUUUCAUAAGUUUUUGAAAAAAAAUAGUAUUUGGUAAAUUUUUUAAAAACUAUUUAUUUCAUAAGUUUUUGUAAUUUGACUUAAACUUUUAAAAAUAGAUAAAAGGUUUUUUUUUUAUAAACAACUUAUUAAAUAAACCAUCACACCUUUUUAAAAUUCCUAUUAUAACCUUAAUAAUUUAAUUAAAAGAAACAAUAAUGCUAUGAUUACUCAGUUUUGAUACUUAGGACUUGUGUGUCUAAAGUUUUAGUUUGACUUAAGUUAAGAUGUUUUGGUAUUUUUGCUUGUUUGUUUUUAUAUAUGAAGUUUGUUUAAAAAAAUUUUCAUUUGAAUGAAAUAGGGCAACCGAAAGCAUGUGGCGCACAUCCUCCAUUUUUGGUAACUUUAGAUCGCAAUCUGUUAGUUAUUUCGCACAAAAUUCAGUCUGUCAUUGCUCCAGGAUUGUUACAGCAACGGCUACAGCAUCUUCACAAUUUCAAACUUGUUUUACUUCUUCUGCAGCCAAGUUAUUCUGCCAUCUUUGCAGGUGUGUUGUAGCCGCUUUCCAUCCCCGAAAAUUGAGCUUUGUAGUUACAUACAAUCAUGCACAUAAUCUAAGCACAAGAUGAUCGAAAACAAAUUCAAUUUAUUGAAAAUAAAAUAAAAUGGAUGCUAAUGCAAAAUCUAAGUAAAAUGCGAUAAAAACACAUCAUUUACUCUCUAAGUAUUAUUGAUUUAAGUCUAAAACUACCAUAAUAACUCUCAUUCUAUAGAGCUCUCACAUGACUCUCACUCAAAGUCUGCUCUGUAUUAGAGACCUCACUAGAAUCAAUGUUGUUCAACUCAUUUUCUCUAGAUGAGGUUGAAGCCUAGGAGACAUCCUCCUAAUGUUGUCUCUAACACUGAUAUCACCUAUAGCUUCUAGGGGAAUUUUCGGGACGAAAACAGGUUUCCUAAAUAAACUAGGAAAAAACUAUAGUUCAUCAUCAUCAAUCUCAUUCACUUUCUCUCUACUGUUUGACAUUUUUCAAAUAAGCCUAAAGCUAGUACCAAAAGACUGGCAAAGCCAAGGAAAAAUCAUAAAAUUCCCAGUGAUGAAGUGCCAAAAAAAAAAAAAAACAAUACCUGAGACGAGGAAAGAUUAGAACUAAGGCAACAUUUACGGCUUGUUCCCCGGUUAGAUAAACGGCUUGGUAAUUGGAAAAAGCGAAAGAGAAAUAUGAGAAAGAUGAAGUGAUUUGGGAAAUUAGGAAUUUUGAGAAAAUGGAAGGUUUUAAUCAAUGUGUCAUUUAAGAACGUGUGCCUCGAGGGUGCUAUAACUGCUCGUUCGAAAUUUAAAUGCCUACCCCAACGUGUGCCACAUCGCAUGUAUUUAAAUCAAUGCGACCACUUGAGUGAAUAUAUGCCCACCAGUCAGGAAAGUGAAAAAUACUUUUAUCAGCCUCCUAUUAUAAGAGUCGAGCAGCUAGACUGGUCAAUGAAGUUUAUUAAGUUUUUAGUUUUGAUUCGUUUCACUCUCAGCACUAGAAACUGGAGGACUGGUAUUUGGCUGAUAAAGAGGCAAUUGUUGAAUAUUCACUCAAGCAUAAUGUGCUCUCCACGGUAACAAUUCCUUGAGAAGGGGAACAACUAGUCGAGUAUAUGUGGUUAGCUAAGGUACUUUCGAGGAGAGGACGAGUCAAGUCAAUUCAAAGACCUAAUCAAAGGGGCGACCAACAUGUACCCACGAAGAAUCCAGGUACGAAGCCCAUUUACUAGCAAUUACACUGCCCACUCAUCAACGGUUACACACUUUCUAUUUAGCCAUGAUUGCACUUCUGAGCCAACAAUGAUCGUGGGGGAGAGGAAGCCGAUAACACUAGUUUGGUAUAUAAGAUACAGAUGACUAAGGUAAAAGGAUUAUACAUUAUGUUACUUGAUUCUCUAGAACUUACUCUCCCUCUAUUUUUCAAUUUCUCUCAAUUAUCUUACUUUCUUCCUCAAAAUUAAUUCUUUUUAUUUAAAACAGUUGUAAUUAGGUCACGUGAUUGGUGGCACAAGUUUUUCUAAGUAAACCUAGAUCAUUGAUUUCAGCGUCGGAGAGUUUAUGUUGGAAAAACCUCCGGCGUUCCCUAACUGGUUGUUGUGAACAAAGGUGUCUUAGGGGGAAGAGUUCGAGGUUGCAAGAGCCCGUUCGAUAAGAAAGAAAGAAGAACAGGACCGUCUCCCCAACAACUACAAAUUUAAGUGUUGGCAUGAUUGUCUGGUCGCUACGCAACCUGACCAAAAUUCAACAUCAACAAUAUCAGUUUACCUAAUGCUUCAUUCUUCAUUUGUUUGCCAAAUAAUAUGGAAGUAGCUAUGUGGUUUUUUGCUAAAAUCUUCCAGCUCCAUUCCUUUCAUUUUAUUAUAUUUUUGUUGUUGCUCUAAUUUUUUUCCUUACUACUUAAAAUUAAAUAUCCUUAAUUGCAUGCUUGUCUCAGCAUAAUGUCACCAUUGCCAUACUGAUAGUCUAGUCACUGGCUUACUGAUUCAAGGAAAAACAUACUGCUUUUUUAAGUGCUGUUUCGAGGUUAUGAUAUAUAAUUCUUGACAAGCCCUUUGGAAGUUGUGGUACCAUGGUUGAAGAAGUAUAUGAAUCGAGAAAGAAAUUAAUAUUAACAUAAGCCUUGCCGGUAGGACUAAGAAGGAAAGAAAGUGAUAAGAUUCCUUCGUUAAUGCCAAAAGAUCAGCCAACAGAUUAUCACUCGUUAAUGCCAACAGAUCAGCCAACAAAUUAUAAAUCAUAUCUUCAAUCAAUAAAAUCAUCUCAUCAAAGUUACUUAUAUUAAGGACUCCUUGGCAAGCUCUCAAACGGUCAUAAUAUCCCAUAAUUUAAUCAUUUUAAUAUAAGGUUCCUAAACUGACGUAAUUAUGUCCUUUCCUAGUUGAAACCUUCUCUUUGUAUAUAAAUUAGAAUUGUAAUCAUCACUAAGGUGUGUGCAAUAACAUAUUUCUUUUGCAAUUAUCUUGCAUAUUAUUUCUUUAUGGUAUCAGAGCUAGCUAUGGCUAACACCUUUUAAAUUGAACCCAAACUCACCAUCCAAUCCUUCCACCAAUGCUCUAGCCUAAUAUCUAUCAAGCUUUCGAUGAAUAAUUUUCUUCUCUGGAGGUCACAAGUGCUUCCUCUUAUAAGAAGCCUUGGCCUAGAACAUCAUACUCAUGAUGAGGCAACUCCACCAAAGAUGAUAAAUAUAGCUGGAAAAGAGAGUUAGUAAUCCUGAAUUUUUGUCUUGGAAAAAUAAUGAUGGAUUACUUAUGACAUGGUUGAGAGGGAUGAUAUGUGAAGAUGUUCUAAGUUUAAUUAUUGGAGGAGAAACUUCUCUUGAAGUUUGGUUAUCUAUUGAAGAGCAAAUUUUGCCAGCUACCAAAGAGCAAGAAUCAUGGCUUAAAGAUAACCUGUACUCAAUCAAGAAGGGCAACAUACCCAUUGAUGAAUUUCUAAGGAAAUUCAAGAACCUUUGUGAUAACCUUGCUGCCAUAGGAAAACCAAUCCCAGACGAUGACAAGGUCUUCCAGAUUGCUAGAGCUCUUGGUCCAAAAUAUGCCGAUUUCAAAACGGCAAUGCUUGCUAAACCACUACUGCCCACCUUUAAGCAAUUCAUCCUUGCUCUUCAUAAUCACGAGCAAACUGUUGUUGUUCACAAGGAGGAAGAAAAAUCCAUUAUGGAUCAUAAUCAAGCCUUUUUUAGACAAAGAGGGAGAGGCUGAAAUCAAAGGGGAGGCAGACAUGGAGGUCGCAGCAGAGGUUCACAACAAAAUAAUGGAUCGAAAAAUGCUCAAAGCAACCAGCAGCAUCAACCACGACAAAAAAUAAUAUUGAAACCAACAAAACAAAUCAGCAAAAUGUGAUUUAUUGUCAAAUCUGUGGUAAGAAAGGUCACUCAGCCGCUGUUUGUUGGGACAUGUAUAAAUAUUAUAAGGAUGAGGUUCCACAAGCCCUUGGGACUGUCAACUUGAACCAAACUGACGAUCAAAUUUACGCUGACUCAUGGGCAACCUUUCACAUAAUCAACAAUCCAGGUAAAUUAAAGACAAUCGUUCCUUACAAAGGCCAUAAUAAAAUCUUUGUAGAGAAUGGACAAGGUCUUCAAAUAUCUCAUAUUGGUAAUACCUCUUUAAAAAUUGAUUAUGGAGAUUUACAUUUGAAAAACGUUCUUGUGGUUCCAAAAAUUAAAAAAAAAAUCUCCUGUCAGUUGGACAACUUGCUAAUGAUUCUCAAUGUUCUUUUGUGUUUAAUUAUGAUGGUUUUUUUUGUCAAGAACAAACAAAACCAAGUGGUAGCAAUGAGGCAUAAGAAAGGCAACCUAUAUGCACUGGAUGAAGUAAAUAAAGUAGCUCUAAGCGCAAUAAGAGGGAAUACUGCAGAAUCAAAUUUGUGGCAUAUGAGACUUGGGCAUCCAAGUAUUAAAGUCCUACAAAUUCUCUAUAAUAAUAGGAAAACCAAUAUUUCCAAAUGGAUAAAAAUACCCAAAAUUUGUGUAUCUUGUCAAUUAGGAAAGAGUUUUAAAAUUCCUUUUUCUACUUCUAAUAAAAUCUCGGUUGUUCCUUUGCAUAAGAUACACUGUGAUUUAUGGGGUCCAACUCCAAUUAACUCUAAUCAAAAUUUUUGAUUUUAUGCAUUAUUUAUAGAUGACCAUACAAGAUUUUCCUGGCUAUUUCCACUACAACGAAAAGCUAACUUCUUUGAUUGUUUCAUACGAUUUCAGAAACAGGUGGAAACACAAUUUGAAAGAAAGAUUAAAGUGUUUUAAUGUGAUGAAGGGGGAGAAUUUUCUUCUAAUGCUUUUAUAAAGCAUCUUGAUGAUUGUGGCAUCAUAUGACAAAUAUCAUGCCCAUAUACUCUAGAGCAGAAUGGAGUUGCUGAGAGAAAACAUAGGCAUAUUGCCGAAACAGCCUUAACUCUCAUGUUUUGUGCCUCACUUCCUCUCAAACUUUGGGCAGAUAUUUUUGUAGCCGCAACUUAUUUGAUAAAUAGGAUGCCGUUGUCUACACUUGAAAUGAAAUGUCCAUAUGAAAAACUCUUUAAAAAGACUCCUGAUUAUGUUGGAAUUAAAGUUAUUGGGUGCAAAUGUUUUCCUUAUUUAAGGAACUAUAACAAGACAAAAUUUGAUGGAAAAACUUUCCCAUGUAUUUUUAUAGGUUAUAGUUCCUUACAUAAAGGAUAUAGAUGCUUAAAUCCUAUGACUAAAAGAGUCUAUAUUUCUCGGCAUGUCAUUUUUUAUGAAACGAUUUUUCCGUUUUCUAACAAAAAUAAGUUUGUUGAAUGCAUGCAGGAACCAAGUCAACUUACAACGUUUCCAUUUUAUAAUGAAUGGCUAAAUUGCCCUAACUCAAUUAAAACCCAUGAUUUUAUGAAUCUUGCCCUUAGUCAAAAGCCACUUCCAUCUUUUCAAGAAGACCACAUGACGCCCACUCAAAUGCAAACUCCUUUGUCCAACUAUGACAGCCAUGUUAUUCGCACACUAGCUACAUUACAGGAAAAGCAGAAAGAUACUAUUGUUGCAGAAGAUCAAAGCGACAACAACUUGACUGCCUCAUUAAAUGAAUCAAUCUCAGAAGAGCAAAACUGCAACAACACUGCCACUUCAUCUACCAAAGUAACCAACUCAGAUAAAAUUCAAACCGAGAACUCCUUAUCAACUGACUUGACCAGCUCAGAUAGAACCCAGACCGAGGAUCCAUUUUCAACAAAUCAAAAAAAUUAUUCUGAUAUCUCUGGAAAGUUAUUAGUUGAUUUUUCGAGUUACACUAAAAAUCAACCAACCACCUUAUCUGACAUAUCAGGUAAUCCAGUCGUUGAUCUCACGAGACCACAACAAUUACAAACAAAUCUAUCAUCAUCUCAAAAUACUCAUUCCAUGAUAAGCCGACAAAAAGCCAACAACAAUCAUAACCUAGCAUUACAAGCCUCUCAAAACCAACCAAUUGAGCCAAAAACUUUAAAAUCGGCUCUCAAGAAUCCCAUAUGGGUUACGGCAAUGGAAGAAGAAAUUAAGGCUUUGCAUGACAAUAAUACUUGGCAUCUUGUUCUUCGUCCUAUUCACAAUAUUGUAAUAGGAUCAAAAUGGGUUUACCGGAUCAAAUACAAAGAAGAUAGGACGAUUGAUAGGUACAAGGCACGUCUCGUUGCCAAGGGAUUCACACAAAUCUCAGGAGUGGACUUUGAUGAGACCUUUAGUCCUGUCAUAAAACCAACCACUAUUCGACUGGUUAUGGCAAUUGCAGUGAGUUCAAAAUGGCCAAUGAAGAAAUUAGACGUCAAGAAUGCUUUUCUUCAUGGCAAAUUAAAAGAAACAGUGAACAUGGAGCAGCCCCCGGGUUUCAAAAAUCCUAAUCUAUCAUCAUUUGUCUGUAAACUAAACAAGUCCAUUUAUGGGCUCAAGUAAGCUCCACGCACCUGGUUUGAAUAUCUUUUUAAAGCAUUAUUUAAACUAGGCUUUGUUAAUAGUAAAUCUGAUUCAUCUUUGUUUAUUUUACAGGACAAGGGAGUACUCAUUUUGCUUUUGAUAUAUGUAGAUGAUGUUAUAAUAACAGGAAAUAACUCUUCUGUUAUUCAAUCGAUCAUCUUAACAUUAAGUACAAUCUUGCACUGAAAGACCUUGGGACACUUCGGUAUUUUCUUGGGAUAGAAAUCAAAUAUUUCCAAAAUGGGGUAUUUUUAUCUCAAACUAAGUAUACACAAGAUUUACUAUCAAAGACAAAGAUGCUUGAUUGUACUCCUGUGGCAACACCCAUGGCUAUAAAAACAACUACAAAUCUUAAGGACAGUGAACCUGUGAAUGCUACAGAAUGUCGAGGCCUAGUUGGUGGCUUACAAUAUUUGACCUUUACAAGGCCGGAUAUAACAUACGCUGUAAAUAAAGUAUGCCAGCACUUCAAUGAUCCAACCAAGGCAGAUCUCAAAGCAGUAAAAAGGAUCCUUCGAUAUCUCAAAGGAUCAUUAAACUAUGGCAUUCGUUUUUUGUCUCAAAGUUCAUUAACACUAUACUCCUUUUCUGACUCUGAUUGGGCAGGUUGUCCCGAGACUAGACGAAGCACCACAGGUUAUUGUGUCUACUUAGGAGCAAACUGCAUUUCUUGGAGCUCAAAGAAGCAAACCACCGUAGAAAGAUCAAGUGCCGAAGCAGAAUAUCGAUCAAUGGCCACCACUGCAGUUGAGAUCACAUGGAUUCAAUUUCUUCUUCGCAAAAUUGGUCUCACAAUGAACAAGAAAACACUUCUAUUGUGCGACAAUAUGAGUGCUCUCUACAUGACCAAAAAUCCGGUCUUCCACGCGAGGACAAAGCAUAUCGAGCUCGACUUCCACUUUGUUCGAGAAAGGUCGCGCAAGGAUCCAUCUUCACAAGGCAUGUACCUUCAUCACGGCAAAUUGCGGUGUGUUCACAAAAUCAUUAAGCAAAUACCAAUUCCAAAACUGCCGCAACAAGUUAGGAGUCCAUCCCAUGGACAUUCCAAACUUGAGGGGGGUUGAUAAGAUUCCUUCGUUAAUGCCAAAAGAUCAGCCAAUAGAUUAUCACUCGUUAAUGCCAAAAGAUCAUCCAACAAAUUAUAAAUCAUAUCUUCAAUCAGCAAAAUCAUCUCAUCAAAGUUACAUAUGUAAAGGACUCCUUGACAAGCUCUCAAACGGUCACAAUAUCCCAGGAUGUACGGUACAGCAGACCAAUCAAGUUCAGAGAGUUUGUAAAGCAAUAACAUAUUUCUUUUGCAAUUGUCUUGCAUAUUAUUUCUUUAGAAAGGACGGUACAGAAGCGUCCUUAACUAUAGCAUUAGCUUGUAUUUCAAAAUGCAAUAUGCACCAUCAGCGGUGUCUUUUUUAUUCAUGCUUGGGAAAUAGUGGUUAUUUUCCAAGGAAGAUCUACAAGAACUCAAUAUUGUUUCUUAUGUUUUUUGCAUAAUAUCUGCCAUGUCCUGAAAAACAAUGUUGUCUUAUUCAGGUUAUUAGUUUUGACAUAUUUGUAGAAUGUGAUGGUUGAACUCUUUGUUGCAGCUUAGUCUUAAAUUAGGACUUAAUUACAUCUCAUUUAAAUUUGGGAUUUAAUAUGAAUAUGUAUUUGCAUAUACUAUUCUAUUUUACAUUUUUAUGUGCAUGUAUUGAUAUGGAUGAUCUCCCCCCCGCCCCCCUUCUAAAUUCUAUUCUGCUGUCCUCAUUCUUUUUCUCACCCUUCUAUUUAUUUAAUAACUUUUAUUACGACCUUUCUUUAGUUUUAAUUCUCAUUGGUUUAUGUAAUCUUCUCCGGAGUCAUUGAGGUUCAUAUAUAUAUAUAUAUAUAUUUUCCUUGUUCUUCAGAUAACCGGGCUCAAGGUAAUUAGCGUCCAAGUGGUGAAAGAUAAGUUGGCACCCGCAAUGAAGAAAGCCGACCUCACGAUAGAGUUUGGCAAAGGCUUCUACUGUGUACCCUAAAUUUUCGAAUCGGCAUGCGAACGUGGAAUCAUUCAGAAGGAAGAACACAAUGAAACGGGAGGUUUUCAAUGAUAGACAUCAAGCUGAACAGUAUUUGAUUGAAACUACUGAGGUUCUUAACAAGAUAAUCAUGAUCUUGAGGAAAAAUUUGCUCGAAAGGCAUUGACUAUAUAAAGUAUUCCGAGAUGAUCGAGCUGGGUCAGGUCAAUGCAAAUAUCGGAUCAAUACAAAUAGAAGAGGACUUGAAAGUGGUGUUAUGCCAACAAUCGGAGAAUUUGACCUGCACAUAAAUGGUUUCUGGAGAUUUGGCCAUACCAAGCAUAUCCCUUAGAACCAAACGAAACUCGGUGUUGUUGAUGCUCUUCAUUGGGACUCAAAAUUACUCUGCUGAGUGCUUAGGGUGAGAGAUUUGUACUAGUUCUUCAUGCUCUUCUAAUGGGCUUUUCCAUUGCCUUGAUUGUCUUUAACUGUUAGGCUGCUUAGGGUCCAUAUUUAUCGUCCCCAAAAAAUUGUAAUCAUUUAGGCAUUGUACAUAGGUGGCGUAAUUCAAAAAUAUUUGUCCAAGUUCUUGUAGUUCACUAGUUCAUAACCUUUGGGGCAGACUUGUCAAGUGGUCAUUUCCUUCUUUCUUUUGUGUUUUAGGCUCCCUCUGGUACUGAUGUUGGUGGGGAUAAGCAUGUCGGGUUCGGUUUGGGAAAAUUAAGAUAAAUGAUGGAGCUAUUAGCAUCCCUUCCAAAAAUCUUAUAAAACCCAUUACUUAGCCACUUACCAUUUAGACCUUAAUUUCAAUUAUAUUCUAAAAAAAAAAAUUUAUUAAACCCAUCUUAAUACUCUAAGGGCGUAUUUUAUCCUUUGAUUAUAAACAUGUAAUAUUUAUAAUUUUUAUUUAAAAAUCAUAUUUAUCUUAUAUUAUUAUUACCUCCACCAAACAAACGGAGUCUCGACAGUAUAGAAAUAUUAAAUUUGUUAAUACAGACGACAGAGACAUAUAUCUAAUUGUAACUCAACCCCGUUAUUACUCAAGUCUUGUUGACUAUUAUUUAAUAGCAUGAUUUGCGGUUGUGAUCACCUAGUCUAAACUCUAUAAACCAUAGUCAAGCAGCCAGCUGUCUGAGUGAAAUUUAGUUAUCGCUUGACUUUGACAUUAACACAUCCACAGAAUGAGAUAAUGAAUUGAUGAUACCAACAAAUUUGAGCGUUCUAUUUUCCACAUAACAAGAUAGCAGAGUAGCACUCAAUUCGGAAUUUGGGAUUCAGCUGCCCCAAUUGAGCACGUUUCUGGAAAAACAGACAAAUACAAUGAAAGUGGCAGUUUGGCAUCAUUAUUUGUUACAGCUAAUAAUAAAGACUUAAAUGACUUCUAUCUUUUAUGACUCUAAUUGAUUUUGGUCUAUUUUAUAUAUCCCGGAUAUUUCUCAAUGAAAAGUAUGAUAAUAUGUAAAAACUAAAUUAUGAAAAAUAAAUGUUGAUCCUCUGCUAAUCUAUUUCCAAAAUUUGCAACACUCCCAUCGAGAGAGGAAUUAGCAUGUCAUCAUGAUCAUAGAGUAAGUUGAGAAAUUUAAUUUUUUUUAUUAUUACAUUUUGAUACAUUAAUUAAUCAUGUGAACACCAAUAAAUGUACCAUAUCAAUCAUCUGUUGAAGCAAGUAGUAUAAGGUUUGAAUCCAUGUUCAGAUGAGUGGAAAGAGAAUUGAAUUGCUGUUAGGUUUAAAUUAAAAAAACAAAUUCAAACUGUAGAAGCCAUGACGAUCGAUGUGUUGAUCAACGUCCUUCUCAACAAGUUAUAUUACAAGGCAGCAUCAGCAUGCGUAGGCAAUGAGGCAUGCAUUUUUUUUUUAAGUAUAUGUACUAGAUAAAUUAUAUCGAAUAGCAAAUUAUUUUUUACUGCACUUUCGAUCGGUAUACAUGAUCUUAAACUAAAAAGGUGGGUUAGGGCUCAAUGUCACGGACCACUCAAAUUCUGGGACAAAGAGAUUAAAUGCACAAGCCAAGAUGUGCUAGCUUGACUUGAUGCUAGAAGGUUCCAGCUCUAGUCAAGAAUGGCAACCUAAGUAGACAACAAAUUAAUAUUAAAGCUACCAAGCAGCUCCAAAAUGAGGACGUCUACAUAUUUUGUAAUUGAGUAUAUCAAUCUUUUAGUUACAAGUUUUUACAUGUGUCGGUGUAUUUUUUAAAUUAUCAAUCAUACAAAUACAAUAUAAAUUAAAAUAAAGUAAUUGGAUAUCGAUGCAUGAUCACGUUGAGUCGUCGACAAUACAAAUAAGAAAGGAGACUUGUUCCAUUUUCUAACACCAUAUUAAAAAAGAACCAAGUUGUUGAGUAAUUGAACGUCUACGAAUAUGAACACCACAAAUAUGGAGGAAGUUGCAGUAGGGCACUGCCAACGAGUCAAAAGAUAGUGACAUGCAUGCUCAAGAAAAUUAUUAACCUCAGGACUUUUCAAAGAACCCAGCAAGUUGUUAGAUUAAUUUGUUUCGACCAUUCAGGUUGUCAUUAUUAUCAGUGUAAAAUUUUUUAUUUUUUUUUCUUCCACUAUGGUUCAUGGUCAUGGUGAUUUUCCUCUAUAAAUGGGCUGGCAAGAAUUGGUGUUAGUAUAACACACUUUGCAAUUUCGUUUAUCUCUAUGGCUAAGUUCUUUUCCUCUCUCAAUACCCCUUCAAUGGCUCCAGUCGUCUUGUUUCUUCUUGGGCUGCUAAUGGCUACCUUAGAUACAACAAGUAUAUAUCUUAAUUUCUCGAGAAAAUGAUCAAAACCUCUUUGUUGUUCAUAAAAAAUUUAAUUUCUUUUAAUGUUUCAAAAUCUAUCAAAUUCGCUUUCAAGAGCUUGACCAAGUAGUUUUUAAGCAAUGUUUUAGCUGAUCCUCGAUGAUCGAAUAUGGAAGUGAUAGUGACUAAAAACUGAUUUUGCACUUUAUCCAUUUCCUACUUUUUUUUCUUUUAAUCCAUCAAAACAAACCCGUACGUUAUCAUUCAAUUUUCUGUGUUUUAAUAAUACUUUUUUUUUUUUUAUACCUAUUGUGUUUUAAUAAUACUUGACCUAUUACAACUUUUUUUUAUAAACAUUGAGUUUUAAUUAGUGUUUACCACAUCAAGGGAAAAAAAUAUUAAAAGCAUAAAACAAGUUAGAAUUUAACAUUUUUUUUUUUUUAAAGACAGAAUUUUUGAAAUAUACGGUGCGAAAUGAUUACUUUACCGAGACCCAACGUAACCAUUUGAUCGUUUUCCCUAUCCUUCUCUCUAUCCAUGGAUUAAUAUUAUUCAUUAACUACUAUUAUAAGUUCUUAAUUUGUUCAUUAUCUAUAUAUUGCAUUUUACAGGUGCCCAAAUAGGUGUUUGCUAUGGAAUGCUUGGUAACAACUUACCAUCAAAACGAGAUGUCAUAGCUCUCUACAACCAAAACAACAUCAGAAGAAUGAGACUAUAUGAUCCAAACAGAGAAGCACUCGAAGCUCUCAGAGGCUCCAACAUUGAAGUCAUGUUGGGCCUUCCCAACAACGACCUCCGAAGAAUCGCUUCCAAUCAAGCCGAAGCAAACACUUGGGUCCAAAACAACGUCCGAAAUUUUGCUAACAAUGUCAAGUUCAAAUACAUUGCUGUAGGAAAUGAAGCAAAAC
Molecule: long non-coding RNA, 53187 nt
Filed under: Citrus sinensis (sweet orange)
Lineage: Eukaryota; Viridiplantae; Streptophyta; Magnoliopsida; Sapindales; Rutaceae
Description: long non-coding RNA (CSIN_LNC004145)
Source: RNAcentral